This 71607-nucleotide long non-coding RNA is filed under the name Phoenix dactylifera (date palm). RNAcentral describes it as "long non-coding RNA (PDAC_LNC000177)". The record is from RNAcentral. Lineage: Eukaryota; Viridiplantae; Streptophyta; Magnoliopsida; Arecales; Arecaceae.
GAGGAGAGUGGCAACUUGUCAUCCUACCCCUCAUUAACAUAUCCACGGCUUGUGAGGAUGAUUGGGAUAACUUAGUCAGCUCUAGCUUUGUUUUCUCACCUUGUUUGUGUGUACGUAUGAGUAUGUGCUUGCGUGCAUGUCUGUGUCCUGUGCAUGUGCGUGCAUUUGUGGGGACAUGGGGCCAAAAGGCCAAAUUUAGUUGAUAUUCUUUCAUUAAGAGAGGCUUUGAACAGUAAAGGCUUUGUCAAGGUGUACAUCUUGCAGAACUGAUGCCUGAGAGGCUUCUGACAAUUUACUUGGGUUUAUUUCUUAAGGGUUUGUUUGGUUGCUGGUGAUCUAACAUGCUGCUGUUCUGGAUACUGUAACUUCAGUCCAGUGUUUGGUUUCAUGUAUUUAGAUAUCUAACGUGUAAUUGCAUCCCCAUGUUUUGCCUCAAUUGCAAGAAUUCAGCCUACAACAAAAAGACUAUAGGACUACAUUAGUUGGCGGGUGAGAGUUAUUUGUAACAAUAAAAAUUAGUUUAAUUUAGUGUUGUAAUAAUACACAACAGUGUAUAAACUUAGUUACAUUAUAUAAUAUUGCAUCUGUAAAUAUUAUUAUUAACAACAUUAUAAUGCUAUAUUAUUAAUAAGUUUACUUCUUACAAAAAUAUUAUUUUAACAUGCAAUAUGAAAAUAAUAAAUAAAAAUGCUAAAUGUAUCAUUUUCUUGUCUUGUGAUAUUUUUAAUCUAGUAAUAUAUGAGAUAUAUAAAUAUUUUAAUAUUAUAUAUAAUUAUAUGGUUGUAAAUAUUUUAUUAUUGUUGUAAUUACAAUGUCAUGAUAAUAUUAUUACUAACUAUGAUGUUUUAUAUACCAAAAGACUAGACAAGGUUCUGCUCGGAGACUAAGUGGACAGAGAGGCCCGAUGAUAUUGAGAUUGCCUUUUUUUCCUUCUCUUUUCUUCUGUAUCUUGUUUCUUCAAUCUGGUUAACCUUGGAUAACCUUUUGUAGUUGCAUUCUAUUUUUAAUAAAUCUGAAUUGACCUGUAGGCUAAUUCUUUUCUUAAGAAAAACUGUGAUAUAUCACACACACUGCAAUAAUAUAAUACGAUACAUGUCAUGUUAUAUUGAAACUAUAAUGUGAUAAUGACGUAAUACAUAAUAAUCAAAAUGUACUAUAAUUUACGAUUUUAUGAAUCAAUAUUAUAACACAUUGUGUUACUAUAUUGUAAUAAUAUUUAUAGUUGACGUCAACUAACAUAUUAUUCCUCAAAAAAGACAGGUAUUAAUGCAUUAAUUGUAAUUUUAUUAUAAUAAACAUAUGUUACUAGAAUAAUAUAUCAUUAUACAUUAUCAAAUACGAACUGUAGUUAUAUAUUUUACUUUAAGUAGGAAAAAUGGAUGAAGUUUUGGGUAGAAUGGUGGUGCUCGGAGAAUGAUGGAGUUUGCUUAGUAUGGUGGGUGUGGAGCACCAUCUUCAGAUUCUAGUCACAGAAUUCUCUAAAUUUUUGAAAAAAAUCAUGAAUUAUUCAUAUUCAGCAAGUUUACUGAAUUAUUCACAAAUUAUUCAUCCCCUGUGAAUCUUUGAUGAAUAUACUGAAAAAUUCGUAUAAAUUCACAUGAGUUUCUUUUUUGACGAAUUAGAGAAAAAUUUACUGGCUUGAAUCCUAUGUGGCUCGUUUUUCCAAGCCGCAAAGUGUUGAAGCAUGGUAGGCCACGGGCACCAAGAAAUGGGAAGCAGGUCUCUCAUUGACUUUGGAAUUUGAUUAGUUAUUGAAGCGUAUCUUUUUUUCCGAAAAGAAAACGAAGAGUUAAACACAAACUCCUCCCAUUUUCUUCUCUCUCUCCUAACCGUCCCAAGUUUCACCUACCACUCGCCUGUGCACUUCUCUCAUAUUAUUCUUUCCAUCAUUCUUCUCUUUGCAUCUAUUAUUCUUAUUCUUCCACAAGCCAUUGCCACAACUCUUUUUACUCAUGAACACCCAUUCCAAUCUGGCAAGGACAAGGACCCAUGACAAUAACCCACUGUUGACCUAUCUCCAUCUUCUCCAUGCAAGAUUUUUCUACUAUUUGUUGCAUAUUCUGAAUUUUAUCCGAUUUUUUCUGAAUUUAAAAGAUUUUUUUCCCGAAUUUUGAACCUCAACCAUUCUGAAUAAUUCCAAAAACUGGAGUUGUGAUUUAUGCUUCAGUCUUAGUAGGUUUCUUUAGGGAAGACUUUUAGUAGUCCUGGUGAAGUUGGAGGAAAGAUGUUUAAUAUGACUGAGGCUAAUUCUAAUUUUAGAGCAUAUUAAUUUUUGGGGUUUCCAUCAUUUGUGUGAAAUCAUUGGAUUUCUUCAAGCCUGUAUAUGAUUCAAGCCUGGUCAACCGCUCCACGGGAGAUCCUUCCGGUGGAGUUCCUUGGCUAAAGGGGAUUUUGAUUUGCUAUGACUUGAAGGAUGAGAACUUUAAAAACCAUGUUCACUUUGAGUUCACUUUUUUCUUUUUUUUUUUGGGAAUGCAUUAACAAAUAUAAACAUAUAUGUGUAUAUGCAUGCGUACAUACAGAACGCUCAUGUAUUUUGCUGGAAAGUUUCUUAUUUCUGAAAAUUAAAGUAUACUUUUUCUAUCAUUGCCUGCAAGCGGUUUUAAACUUCAGAUUAAGUUUUUAGAUUAUUUCAUAUUAAUUUUUAAGGUCUUAGGGAUAUUUAUGAUGAAUUAAAGGACAUGUAAGUUGGCAUUUAUGAUGAAAUUAGUUUUUCCUACCAAGAAUAACUCAUAUUUGUUAUUUACAAUCACCUGCCAGGUAUUUGAGGCAAGGAAUCAUUUUUAUGCCUUGCAGCAUUGCAUUAUUGUUACUCUCGUAGUCUUCUAAUGAAAUGAUUAAUUACAAUUCAACCUAGAGACAGAAUUUAGUAGAUAAUAUUACUUGCAUUGUCCUUCCCCCCAAGCAUUUGUUUGGGUGUCGAGUAGAAGCUUAGAGCUAGCUCUGUAGAAUAUGUACUUUUAAAGUGUCUCUCAUUAGGUUUAGCUUAACUCUUGGUUCUACUAAAGUUGUAAAUUGACAGUACCCAAUUUUUACUUUUACAGGCAAGGGGCUGCUGGAGGCAAGGUGCAUAGACUUGACCUUGAAAAGAGAGGACUAAGAGAAUCUAGAGCAAUUCCUGCACCUGAUGCCAAUGCUGAGUUAGCCACAUCAUUGCAGGUAAUGCUCUCUCUCUCUCUCUCUCUCUCUCAACACAUUCGCAUAAACACAUGCUCACUCUUUAUCACACCUUUUUCUCUGCAAAUCACUUGGCCUGCCAACUUCAUUUGUGUACCUCCUGAACUGUUUCCUUCAUUUUAAUGCUUGAUUGAGUCAAUGAUUAUGGAAACUUCGACCUUAAAAUUAAAUGUCUAGUUAAACUGUUCUAAUCAAGAAAGAGAGGUUGAUAUGAGUGAAUAAAACUGCAAAAUCCCUCAUGAUCUGUUCACGAGAUAUCCUACUACGACUCCUCCCUCUCCCCCUCACAUUUUCCUGCACUCUUUUGGGCAUUGCAAAAGACUUAUAUAUCUUCACCUAAACAUAAGCAUGUGAAAAAUAUAGGUACAAUAAAGAACCUAGCCAUACAUUCCAAUACCAAAUUGCGCAAUGCUUAGAGUCAGCGCAUUGAUCUUCUGAGCACUAGGAGUAGAUCCACAUGAGUUGUUUUUUCAUGGUUCUUUAUAAAGCCUGGAAUCAUGUUUUCUUUGCUUACUGAGACGAUAUUUUCCAACAUAUAGUGAGAGAAUAGUACUAAGAUAUAUUCAACUAGACUUCUGAUCAAUCUGGUGACUGACCUGUUGUCUGCAUGUGUACCCACAAAUUGUACAAAAUGCCUGCCUGCCUGGCAUUCUACAAUUUUUUACCUGGUAUAGUUUUAGCGGAUUUUUAUUGAUCAGUUAUCCAUACUUAAGAUUUGGAAUCGUGCAGCCUCUUUUUGCAGACUCCUGCUACAAUAUUCUAUUUUUCAUUUAACUCCAAUUUCUCCUCCUUCUUUAGAGGUCGCAUAAUCAUUAAUUGCUGAGAUUUGUUUUGGGGAUCAUUAAGACAAGGUAAUUAUAAUAUACAUUAGACUAGUAUUUUUCCUAAUAUAUAUCUGAAUUUCCAAGAUUAGAUUGUUAAUAUUGCCUGGUUGUUUAGAUGUUUUUACAGCAUAUGUGACUCUGAAAUUCUUUGGUUGGUGUAUUAUGCUUUAUCCUGAUAACUGUCGUUUUUAUUUUGAAACUAAUUACAGCUGAUCAUAAUCCGUGGGAUUUUUUCAAUGACUUGUAGAGUUUAUUGCUUGAUCUGGUACUUAAUUGUAAUAUGAAUGUUCAUUUUGAUUCCAGAAAAAGCAAAGCCAGUCCAAUAUCAAAAGCAGAAGUGAGAAGUUCAAUCCACAUCAGGAGGAGGUUGCUUCUGGAUUUCCAAUCGAGCCACCUCGGCCAACUCCAGUCCUAGAAGCAACUGAGGAUUCUCAAUCUCAUUACCCUAACAGGUCAUCCUAUUCUGGGCCUUUGGUCCAUCGAAGUCAACGAUCAAGAGCUCGGAAGAAUGAGGAUGACAUACCUAAGCCUACUGCAGUUGCUAAUAUAUCAGAUUUGUCUGGAUUAAUGGCAGGAAGGAGGAACCUUUUAUCAGAUGAUGGCAGUGAAAUAAUUGGUGCUCAAUUAAAAGCAAUUGCCCCAGCAGGCAGGUUGUCCGAAUCUGGUAAUGAGCCCUCAGAUGCUAUCACAAAGUAUGAUCAAAUAUAUCAUGGGAAAGAAGAUGACAGGAGCAGCAACAUGGAUCAAUCUAUUGUGAGUAGUUGUAACUGUCUGAACUGCCAUUGCGAUUUUUUUGUCUAUCUAAAUUUGAUUUGAAUUCAAUAGGAUAUAGAAGGAUGAGUAAAUCUCCCUUAUAUAGUCGUCUUAGGCAGAAAAAAUCAGGCCAUCUUCACUGUUGCUUUGUCAAUCUUUGGUUUGGAUGACGGGCCCACCACUUGCUCGAGAUCCAGGCAGAUUGCCUCCGCCAAUUUGUAUAUAUGAGCUGAUUAGUGGUUUAUGUUCCAAUGACACAUGGGUAUCACCUUUAUCAGGUAAUGAGUUGAAGCAUACAGAGGUAGACAUGCAUUGGGUGUGUGUGUGUGUGUUAGAAAACAUGGCUUGUUGUUUCAUGUUCCUUUUCAACUGAAAUAUGUUCCAAGCCUGUGGCCGUAAUAUUUGUAUUGAUUAAUAAGCUCAGCCUGACUUAGAAACCAUGCCCUGAUUGUUUCAUUUUCCUCUUUUUUUAGUAACUAUUUCAUUUUCCUCUUCAACUGAAAUAAUUUGUUCCUCAUCCUGUGACCAAUAAGAUUUUCAAAAAGUCUCUGCAUAGUGAAUUGCAUAAAGAGAGGCAGAUGUAAUGUGCUAUAAUAUGUUAAACAUAAAAUGUGAACACUUGCUGUACAUGCAUCUUAUAUUGCUUUUUUCAUGCAUUAUAGAUACUUAUGCAAGGUUUUUCUUCAAUGGGAUGCAUAAUUUUUUGAGGUUAUGUGACAUUGGUUAAUUUUAGGUAAAUUUGCUGAACUUUGACCUUACUGCUCAUAGAUUGAGGUUUUUUUAAAAUGUGGAUCUAAUUUUAUAUUCUUCCUCUUUCCACAUCUCUGAUGAUGUUGUGUGACCUUGAUUUGAUGUCUUAUAUCUAGAACUAGGUGGGGUCAUUUCUUCUUAUAAGUGCGCUAAUACUAGUACAGCUCAGUGGUUCCCUGCUUUCUAAGUGCUUAAUUUAUUAACCUAGCAGCUGGUAGCCUCAUGCGUACCUUCUAUCAGAUGAGCAUUGUGCUUUUUCCAUGUGUUGUGCUUUUUAAGUCCACAUGAAAUGCAGUAUUUAAUUUUACUGUUUGCAAGUUCUAUUCAUGGCCUCUGACUUGAAGGUUUGUUAAUAUCAUGUUUACAGCAGCAGAGUUGCGGAACUAAGGGAACCAAGAUCCACUAUUCUGGGCCGCUACUGCGCCCAUCAGGCAAUGUUGAUCAGAUGCUCAAGGAUCAUGACCGCCAGAUCCAAGAAGUCUUCCGACGGGCUCGGCUCGACAAGUCAAAAGUUAGGAAAGUUCAGGGCAAUGGUAACCAAAUUGGUGCCAAGCCGAGCGAUUUUGGCGCUAUUCCAGUGUAUCCCUCCAGCCGUGGGUCAUCGAUUCCAGUUUUUACUUCAAAUCGUGGACCUGUGCAGUAGAUGCUGCAGAAACGACUGCUGAAGUUUAGCAAUUGAUGUGAAGUUGGAACAACUGGAGCGGCUUUGGCUUCUUCACAAUUGGGGAAUUGUGGGUCUUUUGGCUGUCGGGUGAGAUUGCAGUCUCAGGGCAUGUACAGAGGUCUUUUUAUUGCUUGUCUAGUAUGAAUCUUUGUAAUGGAGAAAUGAUUUAUUAAUUGAGGUGAAUCUUAGCCAUCUAAAUCGAAUUGAAUUUGAGCUCUAUUUUGUAGUGUCAUUGUUUUAUCGCUUUCCUCUCUUACAGUUUGGUUUUAGUUGAAAGAUUUCACCUACCCAGUAGCUGAUCCGACAUGGACCGUCUUCGAUUUUCUUGGGCACUUUUGGUAUAAUAAGAUGUUCAAAUCAAAUUGGGGCCAUGGAUGCCCAACCUCCAAUGAUUUUAUCAACAACUGUAGAUAAUUUAAAGAUUUUAUAGUGGAAUGAACUGGUUGAAAUAUUUUUUACUUGCUGAUCACGUUUUAGAAAAUCAUAUAUUAAACCUGUACCAUAUAAUUAGAGAUGUUUAGGCCAAACCUAAAAGAAGCUCCAAGGGCAGAGGCGCAAUGCAUGUGCGACCUUGCAGCUCAUCCGUUCCCUCCAAGCGUACAUUUAAGUUCAAGUUGUAGUCUUCAUUGAGUUCAGAUCCUCUGUAUUUCAGUACUAAAUUGAAGAGGAACGUUUUUGCAAUUGCAACUGUUUUUAUGAUUGGCAUGAUAAUCGUGAGUGAAGGGUUCUACAUAAUGCAUGGUGGUACAUUACGUGGGAUCCAUUCAAUCACAAGUAUCACGUAGAUCAUGGAUGGUCUUGAUGGAGAACCGAUUCUCUCGUUUGAUAUUGAAGCAAGAGGAUUCUGAUCCUUCUACAAUGCGUUGCUUCUUAUUUUCCCUUAUUCAAUACUAGUUGCAGAGCAAAAGAUCUGAUAGCAAAUAUGUUUUAAAACAUGAUUUUGGUUGAAUGAGGAGCGGAGAAAAACAAAGUUUCGGUUUCUACUCGAGAGUUCCAUCACUAGAAAUGGGAGUGCUUUCAAAUAUAUUAAUACUACAUAAAGUAUUAUUAUAGCACCUAAAUCUACAACUUACACAUGCAAUGUUUUAAUAAGAAUGUUUUCUAGUAUAAUUACACUAUGGUUAUUAUUAAACACAUAGAGGGUUUGCUUGUUUGGUGAGUGUCUUGAACAAGAGCACAGUUGGCUUUCUUGGGCCAAAGCCACUUCGGCCAUUUUGUUUCCCUUUAAUUGGGUAAAGUGCAAAUUUCAGCUCUACUUGGGUCACCGCUUGAGCUAAGAUCUGACGCCAAUUGCCCAUACUAUUAUUAGGAAAAGCACAUAAAUAAGCACAGCGAUAAUUUAAAGGUAGAGGCAAAUCAAGAGCAAGUUGUGAUGCAUGCAUGUCAAGAUGAAUGAAGGUUCAUAUUGCAAUGUGUACUAGCAUGCUGUAAUGCGUAUAAGCAUGAAUUGUAGUGUGUAUUAACAUCCCUAUAUAAUAAAAAAUAUAAGAAAAAUAAAAUUGGAUCUGCAACAAACUUGGCAUUGUCCUUGUACAAAUUCUGGCCACUCCUACAGGUAUAGAUCUCAGGCUUAGCUUAUUUGCAAGAUACCGACGGACUUGAUCUACAUCGGUGGUGCUAACAUGCUAGUGGAUCCUUCAAGAACUCGCAAUCCUGCAUCUUUAUAUUGUCCAGGAAAAGAGAGUAAAAGAAAAUGAUGGAAGCAAUGUUGAGUUUCCUUUCCAUGUUGGUCCUAAGAGGCCUAACCUCUCUUACUCUCCCCAUGGGUCAAUGCCAUUAAGGCUCAUUAUCAUGAUAGAAUAAUGAGUGCUGCACAGUGUAGGUGAUGUGGGUAUUUAGAAUAAGAUCUUGAUCACUUAUUUUUUCAUUGCCCAGAGACUGACUCAGGUUCUCCAACCAUGUCUUUCAGAAUACAGAGGCUAUUUUUUUUUAUUUUUUUUGAGCCCACCAUCUUCUAGUCUGAACAACAUGGACUCGAGUCAAUUCUUGACUACCUCUCAUGGAUCAUUUGGAGAUUCAGAAAUUUGGAUAUCUUUUGAGAUAUGAAUGGCAUUUACAUUUUCUGAUGGAAACUAGAACAUGUCUUCACCAAGAUAGAUUCGAUGGGUCAGUAAAUCAAUCUUGCAACAAGCUACGACCUUAUCCAAAAAGAUUAGUCGAAAAGUGUUAUUUAGAUUUUUUAACCCUGUAUAAGUAUCCAAGAUCUAUUUAGUGCAUAGCCAAUAUGAGACUAAACAUAUACCUAUACAAUCCCCACAUACUUCUCUUGUUUAAGUCAUAGCAUCUUUUCCAGUCAUAAAUACUACAAAUCCAAUUACAAACACUACGAUCAGCAAUGGUCAGCUCAAAUAAACCUAUGCUGCAGUAUUUCUAACCUAUAUAUGCCAUGGAUGGGGUUCACUCUGAUACAAUUUAUAAUAACAUAGAAUAUCAUUCGAAAAAGACUAGCUAUAAAAGAUGUUAUUUAAGUUAUUUGACCAACUAUCCAAAAUCUAUAUAGUGCAUGGUCAAUGUGAGACUAAAUAUAUACCUGCAUGGGUCUUCAUAAUUGGGGUACACCUUGCAUGGAAAAACUAAUGUUAUCUAAGAAAGAGCGUGAUAACAAAAUGCAUUUGAUAUUACAAAUCAAAUGUCCUCAAAAAAUAAACACACACACACACACACACAUAUAUAUAUAUAUAUAUAGAGAGAGAGAGAGAUGAAACUUAGCUACACUCGAGUAGAUUUCCUAUUUAGAUUCGAUCGAAUCUAGAUCGAAUAAUGAUGGUUCUACAUCAAUGAUCCGAACUACUGAAUGUGAUCUGCUACUUCUAAACUGCUUAUAUACAAAAAAAAUAUAAUUUAGAGACCUUUAAAUUAUACAUUAAGUGAUAUAUAUAUAUAUAUAAUAUUAUUUAGACUAUCCAAUUUUUGACCACUUGAUGCAUAAACUAAAAGUCUUAAAAAAUAAUACGAUUGUUGAUAUAUAAGUAAUUUAGAGAUAGUAAAUCACAUCUGACGACUCGGAUUAUCGAUAUGGAACUCUUAAUGUCUGAAUUAGAUCUGACAGGACCUAAGUGGAUAACUACUCAUNNNNNNNNNNNNNNNNNNNNNNNNNNNNNNNNNNNNNNNNNNNNNNNNNNNNNNNNNNNNNNNNNNNNNNNNNNNNNNNNNNNNNNNUUUUAUACUUUUUGCAUAUAAAAUAUAAAUAAGAUAUAUAGUUGGAAAAGGACCUAAAGAAAGUAAGCCCAUCCGAGGAAGUGUCGAAAACAGCUGCUCACCUGGAGUAAUGACGGUCCCAUGGCAACUUCCGAUCGGUUUUAAAAGAAACGAGUAAGAAUAACCAACAAAGGGUGGGGUUAAAAAAAAAGUCGAAGCAAGCUAGCUAUACAUAUGUUUUCAUUCUGCCACCAGUAAACAAGCGUUUACUCAUGGCAACACGUGUACAUGCAGAAGGGCACAAAUAGUCACGAAAAGGAGGGAGGCAGCAUAAAAAAAAAACCCGUCUGUCGGACUUUUUUUUUGUAAAGGUUAGGCUCUAAAAAUAAACUUAAUACAGAGAACAACCAACAAAACUUAGGAGUAGUUACAACAAUUUGGGCACCAGUUGCCGUGAGCCAUCGGCAUGCGAACGUUUUAGCUUGAGAAUCCAAUGAAGAAGCCGCUUCUUAUGAUCCUGGCUGGUCAAGUUUGGAAUCGGGUCCAGUGUGCCAUCUCUAGCGACAGCAGAUUCAAACUGUUCCAAGACCUUCACAAUCUGCCAGAACUCAGGUCUCUUCUCUGGAUGCAGCGCCCAGCAUUGCUCGACCAACGCUCGCAAGGCUGCUGGGCAGUCGGGAGGAAUCACAGGCCUCAAGUUCUGAAAAGUCCAUUUUUUUGGCGUUAGAAACGUACUGACAAAUAUUUAGAUAGCUUCUGAUCAUAUUUCUUUUCUCUUGGCCAAGAUUGAAAUACGAACUUUAUGAGAAGUAACCCACGUAUUUCAUGGAACUGUUUUGACAUAACACGUCAACAAGGGUUAAAUUCUCGCAUUUAAAAACUUUGUUUCUGACAGGAAGCUGCUAAAAGGUUUCCCUAAAAAAAUAUUCAAAUAAUAAACAUACAGCUCUCCACGUAUCAAGGUUGUUUACAGGCAGCCAAAACCUAUAUACUGCAGAUAAACCAAAGGGAGGUGAACAAAGCCACGAGAGAAUAGCUAAAAAUAGCAGAAAACCAACAUUAACAUCUAGCACAAGUUCCACUUUAUCAUGUAACACACAACAUGCUAAUAAGAACAUUUCUAGUUAAAAAUAAUCUAAUAGGAGACUGUCACAGUUAUAGUAGUUUCAUGUAGUGAUCAGCUCUAUCCCAUUUUCAGAACGCUCAAUGUUUUUCGUGCAGAAAUCUCGAUACAAAUAGUAACUCAAAAUCUGGCUUCUCACAAGAAAAGACUCAUAAGAUAUAUAAAGAAAAAAACUAUCGAAGUAUCAAUGCAUCAAUAAAUUACAAUAAUCAAGAAAGAUGCUUGAAGGCAAUGUAUGCAAAAUCCUCCACUAUAAUUGAAAAGUGUACCUUAUCAACCACUGCAAAAGCAGCUUGGAUGGGUGUCAUAUCCUCAUACGGGACUCUUCCUGUUAUCAUCUCCCAUAAUACUAGUCCAAAGCUGUAAACAUCUACCUUCCUUCCAUAAUGCUUGUGUUUGAUCAUCUCAGGUGCCAUCCAACGAAAUGUUCCAGGGUCCUCAGCCAAUACAUCACAAUAUGCCUCCUCACAGGCUAUUCCAAAGUCAGCAAUUUUUACGCACAAGUCUUCAUCAAAAAGAAUGUUCUCAGGUUUCAAGUCUCGGUGGAUAACUCCCUGUGAGUGAAUGUAUUCCAUUCCUCGAGCAAUAUCUAGAGCAAUUGCAAUAAGUUUCUGUAGAGGAAGGGAUUUGUGUUCAAGCUUGUGUAAGAAUGCCCUUAGGGAUCCUCGAGAAAGAUAUUCAGUAAUUAUGCAAAAGACUGGUGGUUUUUUGCAUGCUGCUGCCAUCUGCAACAUACCAGAGAUAAUCAUGUGGGGAAAACAGGAGCAUCACAUACAUCAUUGCAUUAUAGGGUAGAAAUUCAAGUGAAUUCAGUCAGACAAGAUUGAGAAGUACCAGAGAAGUCUUGACAUGAUAAAUCUAUAAAGAUAGGCCCUUAAUCAACCCAAACUUAGCUAUAAUUUUUUUUGCUGCUUUUUGGUACAAACAGCUAUUGGAGUUUAUGAAGGUGCUAGCCUACCUAACAUGCAUAUUAUGUAUGUUGUCUGAAAAAUUUGAUAUGCUAUCACCUAAUGGCCUCCUACUUUCCUCUUCCUGAAAAUUUGCCACAUUAAGGUGGAUGCCUUGAGCAAUAAAAGGUUGCUAAUCUUUUCUGCACAACUUUAUAUUAAAUAGCUUUCAUUUCCAUUUUAUUACUUCCCCACUACUCCUCCAAAAUUAAAAGAUUGAGAGACAAACUAUCCCUAUUCUUACCACUCCAACUCCAGAGUUCUAUUCAUAGUUUUAACAUAAGAAUUUUCAAGUACACAAUAUCUGCACUCACCCAUCUUGCCAAUGGUAUAUAGAGUAAUUUCAUUUUGAAUUCAGGAUAAAGAUUUUAAAGAAGAUGGUUAAAAAUUGCAACCAACUUCAGUUUGACUACAUUAAUCCAUUAGAAAGUUGUGAAGAGCUAAAAACACCCAUGCAUAAAGAACCACCCACACGUACCAAAAAAAGAGAACCACCCACGAAGUCGUCCUGAACAGAGAUAGCAAAUAAUGCUCCAUAUAUAUGGGUAAAAUGUCAAGAACACAAAUAUCAUACUUAUUGCUUACAUGUUUGACCAAAGAAACAUUAGAGCACAACAGAAGCACUCACUGGGAACUCUUCAGUUGAUUAUGUUGAUAUAUAGGAGGCCACUUUAAGAAGACAUAAUUAUAUAAAUAUAUAUAUGUGUAUGUAUAUAUAUAAUUAAUCAGUAAUUAGAGAUCAUUAUACUUCUGUGAACACACAAUGUGCGGACAAGUUAAUUGGGUGGGUAUUCUUCAGUUGUAAUCAGAAGAGCAAAGCACUGAAAGCAUAAUAGAUCAAUCUGACGGAAGAAAUAUAUAAUGGAAACAACGAGCAGAGUCAACAACGAUUACCCAAAAGAUAGAUAUAUGGUAGGUACCUUAAUUACAUUUCGGUGAUGGAGAUGAGACAGAAGGGUGACUUCUCUAGUGAACUGUUUCUCCAGUCGGGCAGCCAUGACUCCAUUUUCAUCAUCAUCAGGUUGCCUAAUAAUUUUCACAGCAACAGGCUGAUCCUUAUAAAUACCAUGAUACAAUCGACUAUGAGCUCCUGAAGCAAAUCUAAGCCCCAAGGUACAGCUGGGAAAGAUCAACCAUCCACUCAUCGGUGGUCUCCACAGCAUUAACCCUCCCUCCACCAUGGUCCAUAUAUCUCGCCCAGGGACUCUCCUUACUCUUAUGCUUAUCCAAGGCUUUCAUAGAGGACAAGUGCUCGAGAGGGGGACUGAAGGGAGGUGAUUUUGAUUUGAGAGCAUUAUGAUCACGGGCUUCUCUGGAGAACAAUUUGCUAAAGACGCUAUUAUCUGAUCCCUUCCUGCUAGGUGGUGGGGUUGAGAAUCUCCUCCCACUAGCCCUACCUUCUUUGAAGGCAUCAGAAAGGAUGGUAGCUGGAAGUGGAGACAAAGACCUCUGCUUGGGUUUGGAUUUCCAUGCAUCAUCUGAUAGUGACUCUGAUUUAUGAGAAACAGAACCUAAUUGGAACCUUAUCGAAGAAGAGUCCAAGGCCUCGCAAGAGUUGGAACUUUUCAGCUUCAAUUUAGGAUCUUGAUCGGAGGAAGAACUGGAAGACUGUAAACUCCAACUCUUCGGUCUCCAUUUAGAAUCUUGAUCACGAUGAAAAGAAAAGCUAGAAUUCUCUAAACUUGACCUCCCUGGCUUGGAUCCACGAUUGCUGUCGGGCCGCGACGGCAAAGGAAACGACGGCGUGCUAGAAGAAUGCCAGAUCGAGUCCUUCUGAUUCAGUCGAUCGGUCGCUGAAGAAACUGAUGCCAAUGUACAAAGAUCCAAAGUCGAGCUAUUCAUCUUCAACUGCACAUCACGAUCAGCCUGGUUGGAAAGCGGGAUCGCCGGCAGCCGAGAAGAAUCCAACCAGUGGCAGACGGCAUGCGAGAACUUGGCCCCCCUCACCCAAGAGCUGCUCUCCUCCAUUGUACCCCGGAAAUCCGAGCCGAAGCCAAUCAAAUUCCGGACGCAGAGCCGCGGCAGAAACCCCUGAUUGAGACAAAGCCGGGGAGAGCGGAACACGAAUCCAAGAACACCUUUAAGCACAUCUAAGGACGGCCUUCGGAUCCACAUCAACGAGACAAUCCAAGCCCAGAUUGGGCGCCCAUUUCGACCAAACCCCUCAAAGGGGAGAACUCCUACGACCGUCUCCACCAGAUCAAUCCAUAAUCAGACAAAAAAUAGAGCACCACUCGGAGGGUAAGAAGAAAUUCCCACCUCUGCUAGCCCUUUCACAAAUCCGAUAAUUUGGAAAAUGGGAGGGGAAGGGGGGGACGGAGAACAAUCCAAGAACCAAAAUUUAUCAGGAAAAGGCAACGAGACCAGGGUCCCAUCGGACGCAAAGACGCAAAACCGCCACAAUUAUUUUCCCCAGCGACGAAGAAAUCACAUCAAAGUCCCUCCUUUUUUGCAAUAUUUAAAUAAACAUCUAAGAUUUCGGGGGAAAAAAAACACUUUCUGACAUCCCACCACCGAAAACAGUGAUCUUGGACUUCAAACAAUCAGAAGAAAACGGAUAAUUCAAUACAACAGGAAGAGAUUACGGGAAUCGUACAUAGAAGGAGCCAGGCACCUGGAGAGACGCACAGGAGCCCCUCCCGCUGACAACAAGAAACCCCCCCUCCUCCUCGAAGACAGACUGCUUCUCUCUUCGUCGCACAGGGUAGGAGAAGGAGGGGUCUGGUGCGGAAUCCGUCCCUCUCCCUCCCUCUCGCCGCCGUCUCUCUUUCCUUCUCAGCUUCCCUCGUGAUCUCGUUUUGGAAUUAUUCAAGGACGUACCUAAUACGGAAACAAAUGGGACUUGAAGCCGUUAUUAUUAUAUUAAUAAUAUCUAUUAUUAUUAUUAUUUGUUAUUAUUAUUGCCCGUUCUGCGGUUUAAAGCGCUUGUGGGUGGCGGUGUAUGGGACCCACCCUAAAGGAGUGGGAUAGGGAAAGUCAAAGAAAUAUUCUAUGCUAAGAAUAAUAGAAUGCAAGUGUCGCCAUCGAGAACCGGUCGUGCUGCUCGUGCAUCCUCUCCCCCCUCUCCUUCUCGGGAGGGUUUGGUUCGCGGAAAGAGAAGUAGAGAAAAAAAUACGGUCAACGAGGUGCCUCUUAUUUGAUUAUUUUUUUUGAAAAAAAUAAAAAAAUAAUUUUUUAUAAAAAUAUAAUUUUUAUGUUUUAUGAAAAAAAAAUUCAUAAAAAAAUAGAAAAAAUUACUUUUUCAUGAAUCGAAAAUUAUACUAUUUUUAUUUUUUCUAAAAUAGCCUUUCAAUAUUAAUAAGGUAUUAAAGUNNNNNNNNNNNNNNNNNNNNGAGGUAUUUUGGUCUCCUUUUGAGAUUUGAUAUGUCUUUGGACCGCUUAUUAAAUGCACAGUCAACAGGGACUAUUCGUUAUACAGGGGUCAAAAUUUGGACCGCGAAGCAAAUUCCCCAAAAAAAAAUGGGACGGUCAACGAGGUGCCUCUUAUUUGAUUAAUUUUUUUAAAAAAUAAAAAAUAAUAUUUUUAUAAAAAUAUAAUUUUUAUGUUUUGUGAAAAAAAAAUUUCAUAAAAAAAUAAAAAAAUUACUUUUUCAUGAAUCGAAAAUUAUACUAUUUUUAUUUUUCUAAAAUAGCCUUUCAAUAUUAAUAAGGUAUUAAAGUCCUAAUUUUUAUUAAAAGUAUAAUAGAAAUUACAUAUAACUUUUUCAAAAAAGUGGAUGGUCAACCAAACAUAGGCACUCUGCAAAUCUAUCAUUUUUCCAUUGUCAACCAAACAUUCCAAAAGUACUUUGUCAGAUGUCCUUUUUCAAAAAUCUGUUUUCCAGGAAUCAUAGUUCUAAAAGAAAAAAAAUGCUUUCCGCGAAUCAAACGAGCCCUCAGAUUGGUGGAUUUUGGUUUUACAUUUUUUACUUCAACCCACAAAAUUUAAGUAAUGUGUUUAAGGUGUAUAAAAUGGAAGGUAAAAACUUUUUAAAAUUGAAGUAAUAUAUUUAAGGUCCAUUUGGUUGGAAGUAAUAUAGUAUAAAAAAUUAAGUCUCAUAUUAGAUUACUCUGUUAGAUAUAAUAAAUGACAUAUCUUAUAUUUAUUUUUUUAAAAAAAUAAAAUAAAUACCAGAUUAGAUUAUCGACUGAAGGUAAUCUGCAAAUAUCAUUUUUUUAAUGAACAUACCCUCACUUAUGUUAUAUUAAUAUAAUUAUAUUAAUAUAUUGAUUAACAAUUUAUAAAUAAUAAUAUAUUAAAAUAUUUAUAAAUAAAUAUCAGUUAAUUAUUAGUUAAUAAUUUAUAAAUAUUUAUUGAUUAUCAAUAAAUCUAACAUAGGAUUUAUUAAUAAUUAAUAUAUUUGUUUAUAUGCCAAAACAUACUAAAAUUUAUUUAUAAUAAGAAAUAUAUUUUUUAAUAUGUGUAUAAUUAAUUUUAAAAUGUUUAUUAAUUUAUGUAAAUAUAUUUCAAUAUUCAAAAUAUCACAUAUUGAUAAUAUUUGUAUAAGUGGACCAUAAAUGGACAAUAAAUAGACCGAAAAAAAAUUAUUAUCUAGAUUAUUUAUUUAAGAAUAUUAUUAAAAAUUUGGCAAUAUUUCUAUAUAAGAUUAUCUUCAACCAAACAUAGUAAUUUUUUCUUGCUACCAUUGUUUAGAGUAAUUUUUUUACUAACCAAAUGUGCUAAAAUUUAUUAUUCUUCAUAAUUAUUUUUUUAGAUAAAUAAUUUCUAAAAAUUAUUUUAUUAUUCUGUAAUUCGACGUAUCCCAACUAAACAAGCCUUCAUGGUAUAUAUAAUAGAUGGUAGAAAACUCUUUUUAAUGUGAAGUUGUGUACAUUGGUGCAGUUAAUUUAAUUGAUUAGCUUCUCCUACUGGUUUUAUGGGUUGAAACAACCAAUACUAGCAGUCCUGGACGCUUGAUUCAUGAGUUCCACUUCAACCCUAAUAGGAAGGUAAUGGAUUGAAAUUGGUAAUAAUCAAGUUCUAGUUGUAAUAAAUUCCAUCCAGAAAGCUUUUCGUACUCAAACUUGUAGCAACAUGUUGCAUCAAUAAAGUUGUAAGUCGAACAACAAAAAAAGAUUAUAAAAAAAAAACCUCAAUUUGGUUAUGUUCUGGAGAAAGGGGCAAAGAAAUUUGAUGACAUUGGCCUUGUGGACCAGUCAUGUCAGCUGAAUAUUAUAGACACAUAUUAAACCAGCUAAAUAUUCAAUUAUCUUUUUAGAGUUACAAUUUUGAAUAAUCAAAUUAUUUUUUAUUCAGUUAAUUAGUUAGCUCCAAGAUUGUUAUUAUUAUUUUUUUUGGUUGCUUUCGAGAAAAAUUAGAUUAGGUUCGAAAUCUUGACUUGCGCGAUUGACACGCUCCACACUCUUGACGGGAUUACCUCAAAAUCAGCAUCAUAAGAAUGCAAGCUAACCCAUCAAUGGACUGCCGGCAGCGCCGUGUGUUAGGCCAGUGGAAUCUAUUCAAAUCCCAUAGCUAUAAUCACAGACAUCAAAGUGGAGGCAUGAGAAAGAGAACGGACCAGGACGCAGUGAAGCAUCGAGGAGCCCAACGACACUGGUGGAAGGUGAAAUGGUGGCUUGAUAAAGAGAGGCGGAGGAGGUGGUCGGUGCCUGACGAACCUCUUUGCCUUCUCUUCUACUCAAUGAACACCCUUCGCGGAUUUGGGGAUUGGAAAGAGCAAGACCACAAGCCAAAGAAUGACUAUGCCCCUGGCCUGAACCAUUCUUUUAGUCCUUUCUAUUUAGUGAAUCAAACACUCUCGUAGUGCAUUUCCAAGCAUUUAACAACUGAUCUCCGAUUCCCUUAAAAAACACAACUCAUCUCCCAUUGGAAAUGGCGAGAAAGGUGGGUGGAUUAAAGAGGCCAGUUAUCACAUCGAUGAUAUGCCGCUGUUUGUAGUUAUUGGGGUUGAUAUUUUGCGCAUGGGCGUGCAUUUAGGCCUGAGCUUGUAUGCUUCCAACCGCACGGGAAGUCCUUGGACGCAUUAAACUGUUUCAUUGGGAUCCAAUGCAUGUCGGGCAUCGCCAGGAUCCCCCGUCUCAAUUCAACAAAGUUCGAUGCUCUUGCAACAACAAUUGAAGAACAAGACCUAUAAAAUAUGCAUCAACCCCAUUAAAGUUCUCCCAUAAGUACUCUGAAGCUUCCAGUUCCUUGUAGCUCUGCUGACCAAGGUUGCCACUGCUGCGGUAAACCACCUCGAGGACCACCAUGUCCACGAUAGAAGCAAGCAAAUAAAUGGUAAUUUUGCUGAAUAUAUUUUUCUGCCGAAUAACAGAUAUCUUAUGGUCAGUCCAUGCAUGCUACUUCACAUGCAUGAAAAAUAAGGUAAAACAAAUAGGCGACUUUAAGGCACCGUAUAAAAUAUAAAGACUGAAUGAAGUACAUAUGUCAAUUCAUCUCAUUCAAGCUACAAAAUUGCAGAUUGAAGAACAGCUAUAGUAAAAGACAGGGCUACUGAUCCCCUUCAUCACUUGGUUGUAACCUGUUGCAUGCACCAGAAAAAAUAAAUGCAUUGCAAGUUGAAAGAGUGUACACAUAUGAGAAAUCAACAGCGACCUCGCCUUAAACAUGACAGAACAACAACCUCGCCUUAAACAUGACUGCAUUUAUUCAUUCAGCACCCUGCUCUGUUUAUCAAUGAAGAUGAUCCACCCCAUGAGAGUUAUUGUUGGAAGAAUUCUGUAAGAUAAUUCAACAUAAAAGAACAAAUAAAAUCCAUAUAUGAUGAUCUCACAACAACAUGCAAUUGUUUUAUUCCAAACAACAUAUUUUAAAGUUACAUAAUCUUUAACAACAAAGUGGAUCGCAUGCUGUUCAACGAAAACCCAGUGAUGCAUGAGCCUACCUUACAGAGUUUCUACACACGGUAUUCACUCUCUAUAUGGACAGUAGUAUAAGUUGAUCGUCUAACAAAGUUUCCCCUUCCUGCAAAACUCGCAUACACCUUGAAUAUAGACUAGUCUAAGCUCAGUUUCUCCCAAAAGUGUAGUAGCAUCCCAACAACACAAGCACCAGAGCCAUCAAUAUCACUGGAGCAGCCCAUAACCAAUAUGAAUGCGGUGGCUUCUUCCUCUUAAUGACGACCCUUGGGAGUGGAGCCUGACCUUUUGGGCGAUUUCUAUACCUACCUUUUUCUUUUUCUUUACUUAUUUCAAAAACUGGGGCAUCUACAUUCACAUUGGUUUCUUGUGGCUCCACGACCUUCAUGUCCAUUUCAGUCUGCUCAGCAGGAGAAGCAGGGGCAGUUGUCCCAGCCUUCUUAUUAGCUCUCUUCUCCUUCUCCUGUAUGAAUUAUAAAAGGAUUUCAAAUGUGAAGACAACACAUGACAUUUAAGUAGUUCAUCAGCAGAAAAACUAAAUAAGAAGAAUAACCAACACUUGCCUUGAGUUUCUUUUCAGCUUGCUUUUGAGCUCUGACUGCUGCUUUUGCUGCUGCUUUCUCAGCUAGCUUCUUCUUCCUCUCCAAAGCCAACUUAGCUUUUGCAAUCUCCUCAUCUCUUAUCAUCUCCUUCAACUUUACACUAUCAAUCUCUUCAACUUUUGAAGACUCCUUCUGGGAUUUCUCAGUUGCUGAAGUGUGCUCACUGUCCAUAGGACCACUCAUCUUUCCUUCUGAUGCGAUCUCAACUGAUUUAGUAUUGCCAUCAUCAUGUACCUUGUGACUAGUGAGAGUAUCAUGUAGUGGAGCCGGGUUCAAAUCCUCCUUCACUCGCUUCACACUCAUUUUAGCUGGCCAAGUCUCUGGUAUUGUGGAUGGUGGUCCCUCGGAAACAGUUGGCUUUUCGUCAAGGUUCCUCAUCCGUCCGUCCCUGCUAAGCUGUCGAAUGUCAAGGAAUGGCAAUAUCCUCUUCUCAUAAUCAUCUCUGAAGGCUUUAUUACUGCUCCACUGUGACAUAAAUUUCUCUACCUAAUGUGCGAAAAAAAUAGAUUAAUACAAAAACCUGAAUUGAUAGGAAAAAAGAAAAUAUAUAUUCAUGACAAACCUCAGCAUGAGCAAGCUGUUGCAGUGCUGCUAUAUCCUUCUUUGCAGCAAGAGCCCUGGCAGUGUUUAAGAGAGAACGGUUUUGGAAGCAACAUGCGUUCUGAAACCGAAGUAUCAAAACCAGCAUCAGGCAUAUGCAGCAUAGAAACUAUGCAGCUAUACCAUGUUGACCACCCAUCUUUGCAGCCUCGCUAAAGCUUAAAUAUGGUAAGAUGAUAUAAUGCACCAUCUUUGCAAAUAAAUGCACCCAAAAGUAAUUCAGAAAGGAAUCUAGAGAACAAACAUGUAAAAGUGCACUGCCACUUAAAUUUUAGUAAUGAUGAUUAAAAAUUCAGAAUCUAUUUGUGCAAUAGUAUUAACAAUUAGACAACCCCAAUAUCCACCCAGCAAGCUAGCCCAAAUUCAUUACAGAUGCAAAAGCCUACAAAGUAUUUCUAAUAAAGAUAUCUCGCUCUUAAAUGAUACAAUCCCAUUAAAUACCUCCAUUGCAUUGACAAGAAAUUGUUGGCUGGAUACCAUGAAGAAAAAAAGAACGUAAGUUAGGAUAGCCAGACAAGGUUACAUAUAAAACUGAUGACGCCAAGUUAGGUACCUACUUAUUAGCUCAGAACUAUACUUCCUCCAUUUGGACUUGUGGUUAAUGUGGUAUUGGAUUAAGAAAGUCUAGAACUAUUUUUGGUUAUCAUUAUCUAGCUUAUCAUAAAUCUUAGAUUCAGAUUAUAGACAACCUAUGCAAUCCAUUAUACAUCUGGAUAUUUUAUAUAAUUCUCCAUAUAUUUACUGUAAGUAGUAAGAUUUUCUCACACUUUAGAAUGCCUGAGCCUUUGGCUGGAGUUAGAAUCACUCGCAUUUCCACUAUUGGAUAUCCAAGAGCUGUCUAGAUGCACGUAAAUAUGUGAACAGAUGCGGAUAAUGGAGAUUGAAGCCUCCAAACAAUGCCUAUAACUGUCAUUUUCAAAAAAUGGGCACAAAUUUUGAUCUUAGUCUUCUAGGGAUGGUUCUAUUUUCAUAGACUAAACAUAAAACAUGGCGAAGGCAGAGAACAAAACUGCUAAGAGAAUGCAGAAGAUUUAAAUGUCACUAAAAUUGAUAUUUCAUUAGAUCUUGAUUUCUUGACUGCUAAAAAUUACUCGUGGUUUUGAGUCCUUGAUAGAGAACUGACAUACUUGCUGAAUUAAUAACCUAAACCAAAACCAAGCAUCAUAGCAGAUUUGGGGAGAGUAGAAAGCACAGCUCUAGAAUCAUGUUGGGACAUGAAUAACUAGAAAGCAUAGGGAUGUAGAGUGAUAUCGAGUUAUGUAGACCCACUUACAUGAAUUGAUUUUAUCAUGGUCUGUCGUACCAUCCCGUACCACCCCAUACCGAGGUGUAUCGACCUAUACCGAGACGGACCGAGGUGCGUACUAUUCCAUACCGAGGCAUACCAAAAUAAAAAUUGAGAAAAAUUGUUAGAGAACUAUUUUGGCACAGAGGUAUAUUGUACCAUACUGAUAAGGUACUGAAACGAUACCCAUACCGAGAUUAUAGACCUUGGAUUUUAUUGAUUUCAUAAGACAUGAUUCAUGGAUCUAAAAUGGAGAGAAAAAAACAACACUACUUGAAAAUGGAAACAUAGCUUAUCUUGACAGAACACUUGCAAUGGACUAUUCUAUGUAGGAGAUCAAGUUGAAGGCAUCAAGAACCAUGUGCAAGAAUGAGAUUCUGUAUCAAGCAUGGCACCCUAGAUAUCUGAGUUUUGGCAAAUUUGGCAUUACCGCUGUUUGCUAUUUGUCUACGGCAACUACAAGUUCCAAAAUAUGCCUAUUUGUUUCCCCAAACUGAAUAAAAAUACAGAUACUAGCCCAUUAAAAUUAGAAAUUGAAAGAAGGUUUAAAGUUACGUCCAUAUGGAACCUGCAAAUAUAUUUUAAAAAGUUAUUGAUAAAAGUUUAUGAUACUAAACAUGAUAACAAAAAGUAAAUCAUGUCAGCAUUAAAAUAACAGGUGUAAGUCCAUGAAACAAACUAAAUUGUACGCUUAAAAUUGGAAGGAAUUUCUUUUAAGAGCUGGAAUUAGAUGAAAAGAAUCGUACUGCUUCAUCACGUGCUUUCCUCAAUUCAUUGAGAGUUUCAAAUGCUUUGUUCCUCUUCUCAUUCACAGCAAUCAACUCCUCCUGAAAGGAAUUUAUUUCAUCAUCAAUGAACUUCAGUUCUUCUUCAAGUUGUCUGAUUUUCGUCCUAACUGCUUGUUUUUCCUUUCUCACUCCAUCAAUGUUACCACCUAGUAACUGCAAGAAUAUAAUCAAAAUCAGCGACAUCACAAGAUUUUAAAGUACAGAAUAAGAUUAGAGGAUUAAAUUAGAUAUCAUGCAGAAAGAAUGUGAACUUACUUUGACCUGGUCUUGAAUAGCUUCCCUCUGACCUAAAGUGUCCUGAAUUUUUGCUUUCAUAGCAGCAUUAGCAAUAACCUUUUCUCUUGUUCCUUCAAGCAGUUUGAUCUCCUUUAUCAACUGCUUCUCCUCAACUAAAGUGAGGCUCUCAUGUUGCAUCCGAUAAUGCAGGCUUUGUAUCUGUUACAUUAGCGUGGAAGAAAGAGACAGGUGCAGUUAGAGCAGGGCAUGGGAAAACUAAAGAAAUAGAACAGCUUGACUCACAAGUUCAUUAAGCUCUCCCUCUGAAGAGCAUAAACCCAUGCCUUUCUCCCUCACAUCAUUAUUUGCAGUACGCAGCUUGCCCAAAGCUUCUUGAAAAGGUUUCAUUUCUUUUCUCUUCUCAUCCAUAAUCAUACGGUAUUGUUUGUCCUCCGCGGUCAAAGGCUUUAAUUGCGAAAUGACUUGUGCUCUCUCAGACUGCAUCAAGAGAAGGGGAAGAAACGAAAAGGCAAAAUAAGGUUUAAUAUCAAAGGGACCACUUUACUGCCUGUUUGAAUUUUUCCUGUCAUGACAUGUUAGCAGUAUAUUGUAAUGAAUAAAGUACUAGUGAAGCUAAUUCACCCAACAAAACUAAAAGAAAACAACAAGGACAAUCAAAUUUGGAGUAGCGUACCCUUUUGGCCUUUAACGCUUCAGUUAUCUGGAAUCGAGCUUGAUUCUUCUUUUGAAUCUCCUUGUCAGCUUGUUCAAUCAUUGCCUUCAGUUUUGGGUCUUCAUAAGAACGGUACUUGACAAAGUAGAAGGUAUGAAUUUGCUUCGGUGCUGGCCACUCAUCUACAGCAUCCUUUGGGAAAUUGACAUUGGCAAGAUGACCUCCCUCUUUGCUCUCUCCAUUCACUCCAUGUGAACCAUUCACUGAUUCAAAUUUGUUCGGUCCAUCGAGUCUCUGUCCCUGAUUAGGUUUUGUCUUGCUAUCCAUUUCAGCAAGAAAUAUAUUGUCUCCUUUAAUUCCUUCCUUGACCUGGCUUGGAGUUAUAUUAGCUCCGUCGGCCUCCAUGCCCAUAAUUUCUAUUAAAGGUUUACAAAAGACCAACAUACAAUAGGCUCAAAUCCUCAUGAAUAUUGGUAGAGCAAUUACAUAGGAUGAAACAAUAAUUUAAACCCAAGCUUUUCUGUAAAUUAACAUAAUAGUGAAUAAAUUUUCAUGUAAAUUUCUGAGAAAGAUGGACCGCCAGGAACCAAGUAGUCAUGCAUUCACAUGCCAAUGCACACAAGCACACCAGAUCACGCACGUAAGACAAAUGCACGGGUGCAUAUACAUUUACAAAUAUGCACAAGCAGAAACACAGGUAUAUAUAACAUACAGAGAUAAGAGAAAUAAACUCUCAGAAGUAGAAUACCAGCAAGUGUAAGAGCAGACAUGUUCAAAACUAGAUCACCACAAAUGGUAAUACUAGAAAUUAUGCAACGCAAGAUUAAGGCCUUGGAUGGAAAAAAAAUCAAAAUUCUUGAGUAUUAUAUUACUUAUCUCUUCUUUAAACAACAUGUCAUGCAAAAGACUCCCCGGCAUUACCUUAUUAAAAAAUAUAUGCAUAAAUGGAAAUUUCCAAUAAGUAAGCUUAAACGAACUGUUUGAGAUACUGUAUCAAGGCAACAACACAGAACUCAACAGUCCUUGGAAAUCUCUUAGGAGGAGAGAGCAAUCGCACUAGAACCUAAAACGGCUUAUCUUUCGACCUAAGGUAUAUGAAACAUAACUACAAGAGUCAAAAACUGCAACUUUUACAAGUUUUCAAGCUUAUGAUUCCAUCCUCACCAUUUUCCAUGUCUAAAUCAUUGUUGAGUAGAUUCCACCUUGUUAUUUCCACGUCACUAUGCCCUUGUUAUCUUCCAACUAAGUGCAUGGUCCAAUAAAGGUCACUGUCAAAAAAGGCAUCUUUAAUGCUUGAUAAUUUAUCUCCACCUGUAAAGAAAAUGGAAUUAUCUUAUUUCAUCACUUUCAAAUGACCACAAACAUGUAAUCCCAUUUAGCCAAGCCAAGCUGGAUAAGAUAUAUUAACCAGAAGCACAACAUGUGGUUAUAAAUCAAAUCAUCUUCCUGUCCUACAAAACCAAGUCAAAGGACCUUUCCUUUCAUAACACAGCAAUUAAACUUUCAAGGAAAUUAGAAUAGAAACAUAUUUGCAAAAUCAUGAUACUGACUCAUCGAUCUCAUACAAUUUAUUGAAUAUUCUCUUCUCAACCAUACAUAUUGAGAUGGCGCCAAUCAGAUGGCAGCAGUCAGGCUUAGUCAUAGCUUGAGCAACAAUGUUGUGUAUAAACAGGCCAGAGCAAUGCACUUGUAGAAGUAGCCUAACUCUCCAACCCACCAAGACCGUACCCUCUCCACUGGGAGACCCUGUGUCCCCUCUCGUAAACAAAAAAGAAAAAGGGGAACUUAACAUCCAGUCGUUUCUUUGACCAGACUUCAACAGGCAGUCCUUUAACCACUAACAUUUAAUGUUUAGUCCUGCACACACUUACACAAGAUUUGCACACGCUUAUACUAGUUCUUGUACAUCAGUACAUAGUUAUAUCGUCCCUGCACACAAUUAUACUAUUCCUGCACACACUUAUAGCUGUGUGCACCAAGUUAUUUGUAACCGUGCAUUUUAGGAUAUAAGUGUAUACAGCCACUAGGGACCAGGUUAAAAAAAUUCUGAAACUUGGGGCAGGUGUUAAAGUCCUAGUCAGUAGGGACUAAAAGUUCCCGUCCAGUUAAUGGAGGGAAGGGCUAUUAAAUACACCAAAAGAAAAAAAGGAGGUGCACUUGGUCCUAGGUUAUCCUGAAAAUUCAUGUCUAGUCAUUAGCUUUACAAAGUCAAUACCCGUGUGAUUUAAUCUCCAAUCUUUGCAAUCUGAUAAUAAAAUAGAUCGCUAAGCCUAACUCUCGUGGCUUACGCACAUGACCUACUAAUACCAAAUUACACCGACCCUAUAUUCAUUUAUUUUACACCAACCUUACCAUUUGCUUGCUUCCCCUCGAACUUAAUGGUUUCUUCUCCAAACUCACUCUCGAGAAAGCCAGAAACCUGUUAGAAAGGAUAUAAAGACCAGCAGUAUCACACCAUUCCAAUGCAAAGCCCACACUGGUACAAAUGUUAGGAUGCCAAAACCAUCCAUAUUAAUACAUACCAGCCAUCCUGAUGCAUAUAGAUUCAUACCGGUGCAUAUCGACGGCACCAUACCAUCCAUACCAGUAGAUACUAAUAGUUUUCAUUCUUUUCAAUGCUGUCAGUUUUAGUAUCUACUACCAUACGGUUUCAAUGGAUAAACAGUCCUAGAUUCGAUGCCAAUAUGUAAAGCCUUGCAUGUAAGGACUAUACUGUCAUCUCAACUUCGAUGUUGGUAUAUACUGUUUUAAAAGGAGGCUACCAUAUGCAAAACCACAACUUAAAUUAGAAGUAAUAGACAAUCAAGGUGGGUGUUGCAUGUAUCUUCAACAGCAAAGAGGUGAAAAGCUUGUCCCAAGCAAAAAGAACAAUCGGUGAGUAUAUAGCCUUUAAGCAAGGGUCAGCCAACGCAAGGACCAUAUGGUACAAAAAGACCAACUAACAGCAUAGAAAUUUUCCUUCACUCCUUUUCUUCCUUUCCAGGACAAGCAUUGUAGGAGAGAGCAGAGUUAUUGAUUCAGCUGUGAAUCAGUUUAAAAUGCAUCAUUUUGAGAUACGAUUAUUCUAAAAAUGUAAAAAUAGCAUGUGGCAAUACCUGUCAAGAGACUCACCGAACCAAAUGGAAGAACUUUCGCAGCUGUCUUCAGUGCGACAGGCCAAAUAUACAUCCAAAACUGUUUGAAAAUACCUAUAAAUCAGUGGAGAAAAUUAAGAAAAGGGAAGUUUGGGCAUGUCGGUGGAGAAGAUAAGUUUAGAGCCUUUGAGGCAUGAAAUGCUAAUCAGGAUCUGGAACGCGUUCAGAAAGGUUGGAAAGUACAACCACACCCGAGAGUGUAAGAUCACAGAAAGAGGAUAAUGGCAUUCCAUGAAAUAUAAAACGUCGCUGGCAGUUGUAAGUUAUUCCAUGGAUUCGAUACCAGUCAUAUAUAAAAAAGGUAUAUGACUGUGAAUCUUAUAUAAAACGGAACCAUGUAUUUUUUUUUCAAACUUCCCAUAAUACAUCUAUCUUUUCUAAUCCUACCUCAAAUGAAUGUGUUCCUCAAACAGCAAAUUUUGAUUUAUGAGCCUGGAUACAGAUUGAGUAAACCAGCGAUUUGGAUAAAUAGAAAGAAAGUAACAUUAAAUUUUUGGGGGAAAAAGAAAUUCAAAUUCUUUUCUUGAUCCAAGUAAAAAAGUAUACCGCUGCAAAUUUCAUAGUCAAGUAACAUGCAAACAUAAAAUUCCUUUUAUUUCUUUUCUUACAUCACUUCCUAAAACAUACAAAAAUUAAUAUAAUUUCUUCUUCGGCGGAGGUGGUGGUGAGCGUGUUAAAAGCACAUAACAUCCAAAUCAGAUGGCCAUUUAGGUGCCUGUAGUUUCCUUAUAUAUCCAUGCCACAGAAUCUAGGUGCACAAAGUGUUCGCUGGCUGCACCUUAGUUUCAAAGAAUAUGAAUCCCACUCAUAGAAAGAAUACACAGAGCAAGGAAAUGUGUACAGAUAAUAUUUAUAUGUGUUCUUGUGCAACAUCUGUAUAGUUGGUCCUUUCCAAACCAAAAGGCCCAUAUCCACCGGCCAAUAAACUCAUUUAUUUAUUCUCAUGAUUCCGAGAAUAAUUCAUCGUGUCAAAACUAGAUUUAUUGGGAAAAAAAUACAGUGGCGAUCAGUCAUCACAUCCAUUAGGAGAUUCUUUUUUAAAAAAAAAAAAUACUUUGCAUGUCAGUCCUGUCUAACAGCUAUAUCUCCUGUACGGAAAUUGCUCCCAAAUGAACUCUCGUCAUAUUGAUUGAAAUACUCGUUUUCUCCCACCCGCGUUUUUACAAUAUUCCAAAUAUACAUGUUUCCUGGAAUCCAAAACAACAAGUCACUUAGAUAAUCUAUUAAAACACGUUCAAGUCUCAAGAACGUUCUUUAGAAGCAUUCCAAAUGAUAAGCCUGCUCUUCCAAGUAUCAGAUAAACCAUAUAAAGAACCCACACCAAUGUAAUGCAUGCACAAAGAAAGACCCAGUUUUUGCACCAUUUCUAUAGGAAACCCUUUCCCCCUUCUCUUUAUCAUCAUCAUCCUCCCAAAACCCUUGAUUUUUCUCUUCCGAGUUAAAGACUAAAUUAACAUAUAAAAUUCCAUGAAAUCUUUAAAAAGAAAUCGAAAAUAGAAAUCAAAACCAUCCGCAAGAAACGAUCAUACCACCAAAGAAUUCCUCCUUAACAAAUAAUAACAAUAAAAAGAUGUUCCAAUAUCCAAAGCGAAGACGCACACAUCUUUAAAAAGAAGAAGCCUCGAUCUACAGAAUAGAUCAAUCCACGCGGAGGCCUCGAUCACCGUCAACCAGGCGGUCCAGGCCCUACAAGGAACCCAAGUAACGAUGCUCCCCAUCCAUGUCGAAGAAAUCCGAAUCCACAACGAUCGCGAACCAAAGAACUCGAGGAAAAGUACAAGAAGCCGCGAUCGAAGGAAAGAGAGAAACAUCAGGGAUCCAUACCUCGGUGGAAGAAGAAUCGGAGGAACCGGCCCUUUCUUCAAUCCGAGAACAGGGAAGGAGAGGCGGAGACGAAGACAGCGGCAGCGAGAUCUUCCGCGCCCUUCUUCGUUCCGAUCGAGCCGGGCUUUAUCCGGAAACGCAGAUACAGAUGGGAUUGAUGUAUAGAUUUUAUUACAUUUUAUUCGUAAUAUAUUUAGUACGAGAGUGUUAGGAUUCGGGCUUCCAGAUGGAAAAGAUCCCGUCCUGGUUCCACUCCACCGGGGGCGGAGAACUGGAGACCGCGCUUUCCGGACUCCGGAUUCCGGUUUCCGGCUUUCCGCUUUCCUUUCCUCGGCCGAGUUGGCCCAAAGGGUGGGGACGUGGCAUUUGGAAGCGGCCUUUUUUUCUUCUACCGCGCUCCAUCACUAGCCACGUGGGCUGGAAAUGGGCCGAUCUUGGGACUAGAAAAGCCCAGUUUUUCAAGAUCCAUUUUUAGUCAUGAUGGUUGGGUGCUCGGAGAAGUAGAUCCCUGAAGUAUUUUUUUUUUAUUAUUGAGAUUAUGAUAAUUGUUAUAAUUUUUAAUUUGGAUCUAGUAGCCGUAGGUACGAGGGAGCAAGGUGCGUCCAACUAUCUCAUGGAAUAUAAAUGUGAAUGUUUCACAAAUAUUUUACAUUAAAUAAUCAUAUGAUCCGCCGAGCAUUGGAUGCAACCCAUCUCUUUGUUUAUGGGGUAGAAAUAUAACACCAUCUGAUAAUACUUUCAUGAAAUGAAGAUGAUGAAAAAUAUUUGAAUAUCAAUACAUACACAUGAUGCAAUGCUUAAUAGUAGGUAGUAGAUACAAACAACUAUAUCAUGUAUUUUCAACCACUCCCUCGAUUUGUACCCAAAAAAAAAGUGCUCCCUUGAUUAUAUUAACUCUUAGAUCAACGCAUGUUGGAUGGCAUUAGGAUUGACAAUGGCAACCUCAAAAUAUAUGCUAACAUGAAGACCAGGAUAUGCAAACCAAGUGCACGCAAUACUUAUGACAUAGGUAAAGUUAAAUCUUUUUUUUUUGUUUGCAUACGUACUGAUAAAAUAUAUAAUUUUUGGUUCCCAGAUAUUCUAGUAACAUAAAUUAUGAUCAAAGUUUUAAAUUUUUGAUUUGGUUUUCUAAAUCUUAAUCUGGAAUUGAGAAAAAUAGGUAUACUCUCUCGAGAGGAACAAAAUCUAUAUAAUUCUGAUACUUUUUGUCAAUCAUAUAUUGCUUGCUAGUGGCGAUUUAAGGUUCCUGACAUAAAACUAAAAAUUUCUUCAUGGAAAUUUUGAGAUGAAGGAUAUUGGUAAAUCUUCAUUUGUCUUGGGCAUAAAGAUCAUAACGAUAGAUCGUGACAAAGCACAAUAUUAUUUAGCACUUUUGCGGUGUGCAUAUAUUGAUAGCUGAGGUUUUGAAAGGAUUCCAGAAUUGUUUUCCUAGUGAAAUACCUAUGAGAAAAAAAGGUGAUAAACUUAGUAUAUUACAAUGGCCAAGAUAUUGGUAAGGUUGCUGCCGGACCUCAUGCGGUCUAGCAAUAGUAUAUUUAGUUUAUAAAGCUUGGGUUGUCUGGCCAAUCACCAAAUGAUGCAAAUAGGGGCAGGCAUAGGGACAAAUGGUCAUAAUAAUAAAGGCCAUAACCUUGGUUGGUCAUGCAGGAAUUAUAAACAUACAUAAAUUUGAAGUCAUAUAAUGUUUGGGAUUCGUGCAGAGGAGUCUACAAAUAUGGGUUCACAAUUGCAAAACCCUCAAAUUACACACAUCCAGUUUGUAAUUGGAGAGAAGAGAAGAAUACUUCGUUGAGAGGAUAAAUUAGCACCAAGUGGAUGAAUUAUCGGUACUGAAAGGCACGCCAUUGAUCUCGGCUCUUGUCCCUCGAACUUCCAUAAAAAACCCUGGCAUUGCAUGUUUGCUUUAAUCAUCACUUAGACACAUGCAUGUGCGUAAAUCUGAUUCGAAUUUGUUGUUGGGGAAUGCAUUCCAACGUAAAUUUAUAAAAGCACCAUGGACUAUUCGUAAUUUGCUUUGUUUUGUUUUGUUUUUUGUGAUGCAGCACAAUUACACUGCUUUUUUGUAAAUACAUGGCUGAGUUAGUGCAACCUAAGCCACUGGGGUCCGAACCAUUACUGUUUCGCUUCCGUAGGCAACCAAAUCGAGCUAGGCCUUGUUCAUGGAUAGUCAAGGUUUAGAUCAAAGUUCAGUAAAUUCAUGUUUGGUUUGCGUGAAACCUAGCCCAGCUUAGGGUUCGGGUUAUAUGAAUAAUUGAUGUUUUUUUUUCCGAUAUUGAUAAUUAGAUCGCAUUUCACACAAAUCUCCAAGCACUCUAAACUGUUUAUUCAUAUACGAUCCAACCGUAAAUUCAUGCGGACAAAGAAAUUUUUUUUUCCUUAUGAAAGAUGCAUCUAAUGCAUCUCUCGCUCUCAGCCUAAGGUACAACAUUUUAGUUGGAGCAGAUUCACCGAGGCUAGACCUAGUCCAACUAAUAACCUAGCAGCACCCGCUCCAUCGCUGAAAACCAGCACCCAUCACCUAUUUAUGUUUUUUUAAUUCAAUAACUAAACGACAAGAGACGUGCUGGUCGGUGAUUCGACACGAAUUGCUAUUGAGCUCACAACAGCGAACAAAACAAUUACCAUAAUCACAUCCGUCCAUGCAUAGGAGAUCACGAGAUCAGACGGUCAUGAAUAUGAUGGACGUCAAGUCCGUUGUUCGAUCCCGACAGCAGACCAAUCCGGCAGCAUGGAAGCUAGCGAGUCAGCAUGCGCGGCUUCAAAUUCUCCCCCGCGGCCCAAACAAAAGUCAAAUCUAAGGUCCCCCCCGUACGACAGAUCCGGUUCAGUGAACCAAUCCAAUUGCCGAACCAUGUGGUGGAGAACGGCACCCUUCAUUUAACCUUGGAUUGUUUAAAUACAAGAUGUUGAUGCGGCGAGUGACUAUUGGACUGGUCCGCUGGACCUGGUCCAUUUUAUUAGUAGACAUCCCAUGCCAGCUGGUUCCAAAACCACGUAAACGUUUCUUGCCCCCGGUAAAUACGAAAGGCCGGUCUUUUCAUGACGUAGCAAGACUGACCCUCCUUGUCUCCCUUGGCUCUACUUUAUCCCUCGCCCUUUCAGUUCUAUAAAGAGAUGGAGCCCCAAAGUAACAGCAACGAUUUGUAGAGCUGCCUGGAAGCUACCACUGCAAAUGGAGAGGUCCCAUGGCUUCACGAGGCCGGAUCGGAAGACCAUCGAGAGGAAUAGAAGGAUCCAAAUGAAGGCUCUCUGCUCCCAGCUCGACUCCCUGCUCCCCAACCCACCCACCUCAAGGGUGCGUUAAUUCUAUACAGGGAAUGAACACUAGUCAUUGUCAAAAAGAACGGAGAAAGCGAACAAAAUGUUUCUCCUUCUUCUUUCCUCGUAACCCUUUCACUUGUUUUGGCAGGAGGGAGCGACGCUGCCGCUACCAGACCGACUAGAAGAAGCGGCGAAUUAUAUAAAAAGUCUGCAGAGGAGGCUGGAGAGGAUGAAGGAGAGGAAGAGGAAGCUGAUGGAGUCCGAGGGGACCAGCCGAGGUACGGGAAGUGUGGAGAGAGGUGGGAUGAGGUUGCCUCAGAUAGAGGUCCAAGACCUGGGUUCUGGGUUAAGAGUUGUUAUAACAAAUAGCCCAGGGGAUCGGCGCAUGUUCUACGAGGCGGUUCGAGUCAUGGAGGAGGAAGGGGGAGAGAUCCUGAAUGCCAACUUCUUGGUGGUCGGCGACAAGGCUUUCCACUCCAUACACUCCAUGGUGACUUAUAAUAUAUAUAUAAUAUAUACACACACACACACACAUACACAUACAUACUUGCAAUCACUAGUUGCUAGAAAGGGUUACUUAUCGAACACCUACUUUCUUCUUUUAAGUUGGAAGUGUUAAUGGUGCAGGUUGCGGAUCCUAGGGGUGGUUCUGAGGCUAGCAAGGUGUUGGAGAGACUGAAGAAAGCAUGUCAUCAGUGAUGGUGAUGUUGGUAGCCUGUGUGUAUGAAAAAGGGGUUUGUUUGUAUGUUUUAGGACAGGCCGAAAAAUGAAUAGUGGAAACUGUUGAUGUUUCACAAGUUCAGAUAGUUUGCUGUCGAAGAAAGUGGGUCUUGCUGCUUCUGUUGUUUUUAUCUCAAGUAUCAAAUCAGCCUCAAUAGAUAUAACUACUGUUGCCGGACUCUUCUCCUCUUGCCUUAAGACUCUUCAGGGGGCUGCCCUGUGGGGUUGCAGUCUCUCUGAGCUAUCUUCUAUGGCUCUUCUUUUUCCAUCCAAAUAAAAGCCGGGUGGUCUAACCUCCCUUCUACUCAAGAGACAGGGGCCACAAUUUUUCUAUGGGCAUUUAUUUUCGGUUUGAGUCACGUUUCCCUAUGUGUGGUAUGAAAUGGAUGCCAAGGAUAACUUGAUUGAGAAUUGCUGUGGGUCCUAGCUAUAAUUCGGUAGCACAAGGGGUUGCUACGAUAGGAGAAACAACCCCCACCUUAUGGAACAAAGCCUGAUUGCUUAACCGCCAUAUGAAUCCUAAUGACAUGGGGAUCCAUUACGCUUUAGCAAGCUUGCAUGUUUUGACGAAUUCUCCUUAGAAGUGAUGGCAAAAGUUUGACGUUUUCACCUUAGAAGUGAUGGCACAAGUCUGUUUCUGACCGUAAGCUGUUUUUUUUUUCAUCAUAUUUUCUUUAAUGCUCUUUCACGCAGAAGAAAGUACUUGCAGUUCUUUUCUUAUUUAUGUUAAACGCAUUGCUACUUUUUUUGGGACAUUCUUUUUGUUUCUUGAUCGCCCUCAAAUGUGAACUGGAUUUAUUAGACUUUUCCAAUAAAAAAUUGAUACAAGAUUGCCAAAUAGGUGGCAUGCAGAGUUUCCAUGUAGGUUUGCCACCAACAAAGCCUCACGUUAUUUCCAUUAUGAUGGUAGAAAUUUCCUGCAUGAAUCAAAAGGGAUGUAGCUUGUAGAUUUCAUCGCAAAAAAUAGACAUAUCAAACAAUGAAAUAUGGGAAGAAUAAAUGACUCUUUACAUCCAAUUUAAUACCUGCGCCAACGAUCGAGCCACUUCUACCGAUGCCUGUCAAGGUCCUUAACGAAACUCUUUCUACGUAGUUCCAUAUAUAUUUCUAUAUAAGCUAUAAAUGAAGCCGCAACAGUAAACAGUGGCAGAAUUAUAUAUAAAUAUAGAGAAAUACAUAUAUAGAAGUGUGUGUGUACAAUAUUUCUAUAUGGUACUGUUCGUCUAAAAGGUGUUUUUUGUGGCUUUUGUUACUAGAAGUGCUAUUAGUACUUUAUUAGCUAUAGGUGGUGUCAGAAUUUUUGAUACUAUAGUUUCAAUGGCCGAACUAUGUACUACAUAAAAGUUGAGGAUCUCCUACAUUUAUUUGGAAGGUUAUGAUCAAAUAGCUUUCGGAUCCUCCAUUCUCUGUUGCCGGACCACAUCCCCUUUUGUAAGAUUGUUGGCGAAUGAUGCAUACUUUGUUUGUAGUUGAGGUUUCUCAUAUUUAUAGAAAGGCUAAUAAGGUAGUUGAUUGGAUGGUUGCUUAUAUAGCUAAUCAUAUUAGGGCCAUUCUAUGGGAUUCUACAUGAAAUCUUCUAGCUCAAAUUUUAAAUAUAUUUAUUUUUCCAAUUUAUACUGAUGUAUUUAUUCUAGAUUGAUUUAAAUCAACCAUUUUACCAAAAAAUGCAGUAGAUGAAUGUAUGAUAAGAGAGAGCCUUCCUACAAGGUCUUGAUCAAGUCUCAUCACCGCAUAUUGAAGAAACCAAUUGGUAGAAGCCAAGUUAGGAAAUUAUCACACUUGAAAAUUCAUUUUGAUUUCGAGCUUAUCUUAUCUACAUCCAUGUGAAUUUUACUUGCAUGAUUUUAUAAAUAGAUCUUUUGGACUAAGUUUUUAACUCCCCAUCAAUUAUUAAUUAGGAGAAAUUAUAUCCUACACCAGAUGCAUCAUAUCAAUGGUGGAUGGAGUAGCUGAAGGUACGAGAGGGAGAGGUCUUAAAUGUUUCGCUCUCUCCCUCCCGCCUUUGUGGCUGAAUGAGGGGAAAGGGCAAAAAAAAAAAAAAAAGGAGGAAACGAAGAAAAAGGGUAGGGGAGGUGGGGAGAAAGUGAGGGUAGCUUAAGCAAAAAAAAAAGGUGAGGGUAGAAUGGUGUGUGUGGGGAAGAAGAGUGAUCAGAAGAAAAAAAAAAAUUGCAAACUCUCAGCCGCCUGCCCUUUGGCUUCCAAGUCAAAAAGGUGAAAUGGACGUGCCCUUGAUUUCAGUGCGGCAUGGGAAAAUAAAUCUUUUUUACCAUAGUUUUUUAGCCCAUUAAAAAUAAUUCAUAAAUUAAAUAGAAAUAAAUUUUUUCCUACUAACAUAAUUCAUCGAUUCCAUAACGUAAAAAUAUAUAAUAAAAAAAUUACGUGCCAAUAGGCACCAUGCGCGAAGAAAAACCAUCGCAUCCUUUUUUUUUUGGCCAAGUAAUAUAAAUUCAUCUGCUUCUUGAUAUAUACUGUAAGAUUUUUUUACGUACUUAUUGAUAAAUCGAUGUAUAGUUUCUAAAAUAUGAUGUUCAUCAGAACGUAGUUUAUGCCUAGUCAAUACACACCUAAUAAUAUAGUCAUCCAAUAUCCCAAUAUACACAUCCAGAUAAAUCGAUUUGCAGUUCAAAAUAUGAUGCUCAUCAAUAUGCAUUAUAUGGCCAAAUGAUACAUACUUGUCAGCUUCCUAAUACAUAAAUAUAUACUGUAAGCUUUGCUAAUACACACCCAAUACAUACCUUUAGAAAAAUUGAUAUAUAAUUUUUAGAACAUAGUAUUUAUGAGUAUACAUUGCACGGUCAGAUGAUACACACCUUGCAAAAUAGUCAUCUAGCAUUCCAAUAUACACUUUUAGGUAAAUUAAUACAUAGUUUUUAGAAGGACUAGAUAAAGGGACUCAAGAGGAGAAGGAAGCCCUCACGGAUGGGAGAGAUAGCUUGAUAAGAAAAAGGAUAGAAGGAAAGGCUUGACGAGAAAGAAAAAUAAUGCAGAUAGUCUCUUUUGGCGUGUGCAAUUUUUUUUUUAAAAGUUAGAGGAAUGAUGGACUCUAUUAGUAAGAAUCCUUUUAUCCCUAUUUAACUUUUGAAUUUUCUCUUUAAGAUAGAUGCAAGAGGAGAAAACAUAUCAAAAAAGGAGCCCCACCCCAUAUUUCCUUUUAUGGUGCCCACCCUAUAUGAUUUUUGUUCAGUCAUAUGCAAUGUAACCUCAUUUCAGUUUUCAGACCCUCCUAUGUACACCCACCAUCAAAUCCAAAAUAAUCAUGUUCGAGGUAAAAACAAAUGAUUGGACUGACUCAAAACCAUCAAUCAGACUAUCAAAAAACAAAAAUCAUAUGGGGCAUUAUAGAACAUCAUAUGGAGUAGGAUUCCUAUUUUAUUAUAUAUUUUUUUAGUGUUCAUCUUAAAAAAGAAAACCUAAAAAUUAAAUGAUUUUUUUUUACAUGAAUACCCUCCUAAAUAUCAAAUUUUGCAUGAAUACUCUCUCAAAAUUGAUAUUCAUAUGUAUGCCUUCUUAAAAUACUUAUUAUGCUAUUCUAUCUUUUUUUAUCUUUAUUUUUGUAUAUGUACCCACACCAUGUAACGCCGUUAAAAAAUUAAUAGUUUUAAAUUAAAAUGACUAAAAUACCUUUAAUAGGUAGAAGUGCAAAAAGAACCAUUAAGGCGAUCGCGAUAGGGGACAAAAAAGUAAUUUCAAGAUGCUAUUUUAUUUUUAAAUGAAUAUGAUUUUUAUUAACGGCGUUAGAAGAAUCGUUAUAUUAGAGCAUUUGUGCAAAACCAGUGUUUUAUGAGAGUACAGAAAUAAUUUAAAUUUUAAGAGGGUAUUCACAAAAAUUUGAAUUUUUAGAAGGGUAUUUAUACAAAAAAAUCCAAAUUAAAUAGGAACAAAACUCUUUCUACUAAUGAAGUUCGUCGAUUCCAUAAAUUCAAAAAUAAAUAAAAAAAUUACACAUGCUAAGAAAGAUCAUCCAUGAAGAGGGAUCGUCCAUAUAUUUUUUUGUUCUCGUCAAGCCUCUCUAUUUAUCAUCUUUCUUAUCAUGCCAUCUAUCUUAUCUAUGAGAUCUUUCUUUUUUCUUUCGAGUGCUUUUUUUUUGUUAAAGCAGAUGCAUCAUACAUGACGAGUACGAAUAUANNNNNNNNNNNNNNNNNNNNNNNNNNNNNNNNNNNNNNNNNNNNNNNNNNNNNNNNNNAACAAUUUCUAAAGCGCUUCGGGUAAGUCUUCUUCGCCCAGCCAAAGGAUCUCCCUAGAACUUCUGAGUCCUUUUCACCACCUCCAAAUCCUUCUCUAUUUUUUAUAGAUUUAGAAUCUAAGAAAUGAUAUAUAUAUAUAUAUAUAUCAUUUUGUAUGUUAGAUAAAAUUAAAAAACUGAGUACUGAUACUAAUAAAUACUAUGUUUUGAAAACUAUAUAUCGAUUUAUCUAAAAGUGUGUAUUGGCUUGCUGGAUAAGUACUUUAUUUUAUGCAUAUUGGCUUGCUAGAUGAGUAUUUUAUUUGAUGUGAAUAUCAUGUCCUAUAAAUUGUAUAUUGAUAUAUCUAGAUAUGUGCAUUAACUUACUAAAUGACUAAUUUAUUUUGUAUGUAUUACUUGAAUAUAUACUAUGUAUCGAUAAAAAGUAUAUUUUAAAAAUAAAAAGAAAAAAAUAUUAUGUGUUUUUUUAUCUUUUGUAAUCAUGGGAUUGAAGUUUUUGUUUGUGAAAGUUUAGUUAUUAGAGAAAAUGUUAUAAAAUAUAAUUUUUUUGUGAACAACAGGGUUAUCUGGACGACGACACUCCUUCUCCUGACAAGGUGCCACUCGGUGCCUGAUGGGUCAGAGAUUCGCGAGUUUUAUGGCAUUGGAUGGAUGAGGGGACCGGAUCAUGGGAAUUCAUGGCCAUAGUCUCUUUUCAUGAGAGAAUUAAUGAUCACAGCCAAGGUUGGAUUUAAUGCUCUCCAAAAAUAGCGAAGGAGAAUCCGCCACGCAUUUGAUGGCCUCGUAGGUCUCCCUACUAGGGGGACCACUCAUCCUCAAGGCUCGAGUCUCGAUGAACGAGUCAACGACAUGUAAUGCUGUACGAAGACAGUGGGUGUACGUAGAGGGUCUCAUAGCAGGGUUCCGACUGUAUCUUUUGCAAAAAAAGAAUGAUUUAUUUUUUUUUCCCACAAAAUCAACUGCUGGAAUGGACAAUAACCGUCUCAGAAUCUAUGCAGACGUUGGAAAAAAAUUUAAAAUAUUUUAAAAUCUACGCAAGGCAACAGAUUGCAAUUAAAAAUAAAUAAAUGAUCUUCUUUCGUGCCAAACAUGCAAAGUGAACCCUCACGGCAGCGCAAAUACGUGGAUUUGAGUUGCAUAUUUGGCAUGAAAGAAUAAUUAAUCUUAUAUUAAUAUAGACCGUUGGAUCGCAUUUUGUAUAGAUUUCAAAAAAUUCUGAACUUUUUUAUCCGUCCAUUUAUAUGGAUUCCAAAGAUGGCUAUAUAUUGCGCAAUCCAACCAUAGAUUCUCACUAAAAUGAAUUCUUCAACCGCGUGAAAGAUGCAGUCCUUAUCCUAUGUGGAAAGAGAAGAACAAGAGUAGUCAUCCAACAACUUGUUACUGUCACAACUUAGGUCCUUACUUAAAAUGGCUAGCCCUUAAAUCUAAUCACAAGCACAAUAAUUAGCUCAUAGUCAGCCCCAAUGGAUCCAUGCUGCAACGUCCCUUAGUCCACAUAGGUUAUGAGUCGAGUCCGUUCUGAUACCAUUUAUCACAACUCAUAACUUCAUCUAAAAUGUCUAGCUGGAAUAUAUUAUUUGGAUUCCUCGAUUCUAUAUAAGUACCCAAGAUCUAUCCAACGAAUAAUUAAUGUAGGACUAAACACACGCCGCAUGGGUUCUCACAGUUACCAUUUCUCAAACUCUGAUUGUCGGAUAAGUUAGAGGAAUGGCUGAGACCCUCUUCGGAUUCUCAGGUAUUCUUAAUUAUUUUCAGCAAAAACAAUUAUUGCAUUUAAAAAUUGAGAAAAAUGGUUAUUUUGAAAUAUAAUUAUUACGAGGGGAGCAGACAUUAGAAUUUCAGCGAGUGUGAAGGAGACAAGGAUGGGUAAGAAUCCGCUUCUUGCUAUGGGGCUAAUCUUAAAAAUCAUGAUGGUGAAUCCGAACAAUGAGAUUGUAGUUGAAGCAUUUUAAAUAGAAUGACCCGCACAAGUGAUGUUAUUAUCUCGCACAAGCAAGCAAGGGGGAAUGGCGAUUCUAAUCGAUAUAACUGGCACAGGAAAAGGCAAAAGUAUUAGAAGUUUUGGGCUCUCCUGCAAGAUAAAAACAAAAAAAAUCUGCUAUCAUUGAACUGUACUGAUGUAUGCUUGGGUGACUACAACGCCUUGAUGACGCCAGUAGAAGACAGAUGGGAACAUAUCAACUUGGCAAAAAUAACAUAAUGGCUGAUGUACAAAGAAGGGUCCGAAGCGGCCAGGUUAGGUUUACUCGAGGCCGAGCUGGGCCCAAAAGAAGUCGUGGGCUUCAGGUUGGGCCCAUGCCCCAAAAUUUUUCCGACAACGAGCAUGAGCACUUAUAAAUUUUUAAUAAAAAUAAAUAAACAAUAUUAACAUGCUAUUACUUUGAUUUAUCACCUGCUUAGUAAUAUCUUUGAUUUUAUGGUCAUAAAGUUUAAUUAUCUAAUUUAUAAACAUAUUUAUAUCUAUACUUUUAGUAUUUGAUUUGUAUGUACCGUAUAAAACAAAUAUGGUCAUAAAUUUUUGCAUCCGAUUAAUAUUUGUAUCUACAUCUGUGUUCAUCAAACAAAUAAAUAUGAAUAUAGGUAUAUUAGUAUAUCUGAUACCCAGGACCUCAUACUUAGCGAAUAACCGAUGUAGGACUAAAUCGUUUCAGCCCUAGCAUUUUCAUCAGGCUAAGAGUUCAAAUCUAUUCAAAUGUAAUCACAAGCAUCAUGAUCGUCCCGUAGUCAGCUCCAAUACAUUCGUGCUAUAGUAUCUCCUCGUGCAAAUAGAUUAUGGGGCAGGUUCGCUCUAAUUAAUACCAUAUGUAACAAUCCAAAAAUUCAUCUGAAAAUAUUAUUUAAAAUUUUUAAUUUUAUAUAAAUAUUUAAGAUUGAUUUAGCAAAUAAUUAAUAUAAAAUUAAUGGUCGCACCAGCUAACCAAGGGCUCGUGCCAAGUGGCUCAACUGGCGUUCGGCUCUCCAAUCCUUGGCAAAGCGGCUUUCAACUGUGUACAGCCUGUGACAGCUUAUUGCAGGAAAAAAGCUGGUUACGACAGUGUUCGCUUUCAUGUUCCGGCAAUGGCCAGGACAUGAGAUGUUGAUCGCACCCACGUUGCUGAACCACCACAAUAAUGGCACGACACUGUAGAGUCGAAUGCUGGGAUUCGGCAGAAGAUAUUCUGCAGAAGAUGGCAGUGGUCGCAAUCCACUGUGUCUACGACCAUUCAUGGCCAACUUUAAUUAAGAGACAUAUAGAUAGAUUCCGUUAGCUUGGUAGGUUAGGUUAUAAUCAUGAGUGAUGCUCAAAGGGCGUAUAUUUAACUAGAAAACAUUUCUAUUUACUGAAGAGUUAUUUAAGAUCAAAUUAUUUGUACACCAAAACCGAAGGAAUUGUUCUGUGGCUGUUUUCUAAUGGUUGUGGCCUCACAAGGCCCUCCUUGCAAGGUUAAUAUUCAUUGAAAUCAAACGUUAAUUGACUACACCUUGGAGAGCCAAGGUUAAUUUAGCUUCUUCUUUUUUUUUUUUGAGUUGAAAUGGAGGAAGCAAGUCACUUCCUCCGAAAAAUUUUAUAGUUUAUCUUAAAAUUACUCCUGUUUUGCUUGGAUCUGAGAAUAGUAAAAGAAAAGCUCUGAGAGGAAGUUGAUCUUAUCCCUGGUGCCACAUGAAGAAAAGACUUGCCCGACUUCAAAUCUUGUCAACUGGACUUCCAUCUCAAGUCAUGCUCACUUUUCAUAUGUUAAUAUUAUCCACACACAUUUCUUUCCAUUUUUUAAAAUGGUUAUAGAAUCUUAUAUAAAUGUAGGCAUUUUCUUCUUCGGUCCCACACAGAUUUAUUUGUCUCAGGAGAAAGAAUAUAUAAUCAAUUCAUAAUAUAAACUCGCCAUUUAAGGCAAAAGAACGGCUGCAACCGAGAGCCAUUACAAAUAGCUGGGAUAAACUACCUCUUUGUCACCUAACCUGGCCCAGUCGCUCGAGUCCUCUCUCCCCUCACCACACUUUCCUCACUUUUCUUGACUGCUUCUCAGACUUUUUCUGGGACAUGAUUUCAUCUGGCUAAUGAGAUCAGGAUGAGCUUGUAGAACGGCAUGCUAGUAGGACAAGCAAUGGAGUUCCAAUAAAGCUUUCGUCUUCCUCUUCGUUGAGGAAAAUAGAAAGCUCGCCGUCUCUUUUAACAAUUAUAAAAUCUUCAUCUCCUUGAAGUAUCACAUGCAUCAAACACACGUGAAAUGGUAUCACAGCCACUCAAAGAAUAAUGUGCAAUGGUAUAGACACGAUCAAUUUCUUCUACCAAUUAGCUCUCUUGAGGCGUCACCAACCAACCCGGUGGAAAAAAGAAAAAAAAACAGGUGGAGAAGAAAAAGGAAGGAAAACUCCAAAACAAUGCGGAUGCAUUGAUACCAGUCUUACCACUAGCCAUCGACCACAUGCCCUGUGGCUGCCAGUAUUAAUACUUCUCUCACCAACCAAACUUUUUCCUCGAUAACUAUAAUUCGACUCCUCUUGUGUGAUUUACCAAGUCACCGAGUCCAAAAGCUUCUUUCUUUCCUUCCCACCGUGCUUGCUCUCUGAAACUAUUUAAGUUAGGCUUGCAUCCUCUGAUGCCAUAGGCUACCAGCGUAUCCAAGAGUAAAGGAGAAGAAGAAUGUUGGUGGUUGAAGGAGGAGAGGGAGAGGAGGCAGCUUACAACGAGCCGGUAAGCCCGACCGGCCAAUACUUCAAUAGCUCGGCGCUGUCCAUCUGCAUCCUGGUGGUUUUCGAGUCCGAUGUUCCUAUCGAUGACUCCCCGACCAUGUCGACACUGGAGAAUCUGUUCUUGCCGAUCAACCCACGUUUCUCCUCCAUCAUGGUACCUUCUCUGCUCUCUACCUUCUCUGAUUCCAGGGCUGUUUUAAUCUCUUCCAAGUCAUGUAUACGCGGCCAGUCAACUUGGCUAGCAUCCAGUCCUCCAUUGUUGACUAAUUUUCCAAGCAUAGAAGCUUGCUUUGCCGAGUUGGAUCCCGUAGAUCAUCUUGGUUAAAGCAUUCUAAAAUUGGUAUACAUGCAGUGUUUAAGUCCAAGCAGAUGGCUUGGCCAAAGCCCACAAAUAGCCACCAACAAGAUCUGUCCCUGUAAUCGCUAGGGUUGGCUGCCAGCAUUGACAUUUGCUAGUUUGUGUUUUCGUGGCUACUUUGAACUAGGUGAAAGAUGAGAACGGGGUUCAACAGUGGAAGAGGGUCAAGGUCAAGCUGGGAGACCAUGUAAACGUUCCCACCUUCCCCACUGGCUUGGAAUCAUAUGACCAAUGCGUGCAAGAUUACCUCUCACAGAUAGCACUGGAGAAGCUGCCGCAAAGCCGGCCACUGUGGGACCUCCACAUCAUCAAGUAUCCGACAAGCAAUGCCGAGGGCACGAUGGUGUUCAAGCUUCACCACGCACUGGGAGACGGCUUCUCCCUCAUGGGAGCACUCUUCUCUUGCUUGCACAGGGCCGACGACCCUUCCCUCCCUCUCACCUUUCCCACUCCUCGAGAUAAAGCGAUGAAAAAGAGCUUAUGGGGGAGCAUUUGUGGCGUAGUGCCUCGAGUUCUCUCCGUGUGUGCCAAUACCAUCCGAGACGUAGGGUGGAGUCUUUGGAAGAGCACUCUGGCAGAGGACGACACAACUCCGCUCAGAUCCGGCACUCCAGGGCUGGAGUUUCGGCCGAUCACCAUUUCUUGCGUCGAGUUCUCUCUUGAUGACAUAAGAAAGAUCAAGGCCGCAGUCGGAGGGGUAAGCUUGUGCUUUUAAAUCUUGGAAAAUACUCGAAUAACUCUAAAAAAAGUCACUCAGCUGCCGUCGUGAAUCUUUGGCGCAAGGAACCUGAGUGGCUUUUUCAAGACCGCCCCGAAAUCUUUGUAUCCUUCCAUUUCUGUGCCCCGGGGGACCGGGAUUCAGCAACAGGUCGGGGUUGUUUCUUUCGCGCGAGGCCACCGUUGGAUCGUCCGCUAGUCGCUUUGAGAUGUAUGCAGGUGGGUGGGUGAAUGCGGUAGUUCGAAGUGCUUUGAGAUUUGUAUAGUGGGUGAUCCAAAGGUGGAUUUGUGCGAAAGAACAAACGACCCGUACCUGCAGCAAUAGUUCACGUCGUGGUUUUUUGUUGUGCAUCGUUGCCCUCGUUAAGUGGCACCCAUCUCCCCUCCCUCCCCUUUUUUUUUAUAUAUAUAUAUAUUAUAAUAAUAAGUGCAUGUUUGGAUAAUCUAGUUAAAUUAGACUGAUUCGGCUAUUUAAAUAUUGCCCUAUCAGACAAACACCGCUCAAGCCAAAUCCUAUGAAAAGUAUAAAAAGAUUUAUAUAAAAUAUUUUUUCUUCCUAUAGAUAAAAGCCUAGAAUUUAAACUAGGAUUUGGAUAGGCCUUUGGAAGAUGGAAAUAGAUGGGGCCAAUAAGCCCAAUUUUUACAGAAUUUUCAGGAUGAUUCUAUAGAAAUAUUCAAAUAGAUUCUUAAUUUGUGCAUAUAAGAAAAAUGCUAAAAUCAUCCGUUUCAUAUAAAAAUAGGCAAUUGAUUAGAUAAUAUGCAGGGCCUAACUAGCACCACCGAACUUGGCCAUAUAUCUCAUCAAUCUCCAACUGUCUGAUCAGCUCGAUGAACUAAAUGGUGAUCUAUAGAAGUACUUGAUGUAUAUAGCUAAUAAACUACAAAGAAAUUGGAUAUAUAUGCUCCUUUGACCAGAACCCAUCGAAGAAAGCCCUUCCAAAAAUAGCAAUAAUAAAAAUAGUUAUAAUAACAACAACAAUAAUAAAAAUAAUGUGAUAUAGGCUUUCAAGGUGGCUUAUCACAAGAGAAGAUAUAUAGUAUCUAUUUUUUGCUAUUUUGAUCAUUAUUUUUACUAUUAAAAAUACAUAAAACUCAAAUAUCAAAUAUUUUAAGGAUCUCUAACCUAUACAUACAUGGACAUAAAUAUGGGCAAUUUUAUUAUCCUAGUGUACUAAUAUGUAUAUAUGAUAAAGCAUUUAAGUUCAGAAUUCGUUUUAUUGGUUAUGAUCUACAUAUUAAAACAUAUAUAAAUUGAAACUGGAUAUUUUUUAAUGCUCAGAUUAUGGCAAAAUUUGGUCUGGUAUCAAUUUAAUUGUUCAAUUUGUACCCUCCUGAUCCAACGUUAGAAAUCAUCAACGUAUAUGAGUUUUAGUUUAUAAAAUUUUUUGAUGGUAUAGAUCAUAUUCAAUGGCAUUGAUCGUUAAUUUAAAUACUAUAUUCUUGAUUUUGAACUUGAGAGUAGUUAGCCUCUUCCAUUGGAGGAGUAGAAUCUAUCUCUUUAUAUGCAUUUUUGUUUUGUUUGUCCAUCUAUAUUGUCUUUUUUUUUGGAGCAAUUAAAAUGGUGAAAAAUAAUACCAUGCUUUCAAAGAUAAAACAAAUACAGAGAUAAAACUAAAAGAUAAAAAAUAAAAUAAAAUGAAAGAUAGGAGUAUCAAAACCACCCAACAAGAAGCAACAUCAAGAACCUCAGUCCAAUCCCUAUAUAAAGCAAAUCUAAACCAAGCUGAAAAGCCCAACCAGUCCAAUAUCUAAAUAUUGUCACCUUCUGUCUAUUAUUGUUUACUCAACAGUUUGGGUGGAGUUGAAGUAUCACAAGGUGUGAAAAUUACAAAUUGUAACAUGCAAUUAGCUUAAUUUUGUAUGCAUAAAAAAUUAAAAUUUUAAGAAAAAUAAAUGUGCAAAGGCAGCUUGAACUUUGUUAUUAUUAAUAUCAAGCUUGUUAUAACAUAUUCUCUUCUGCAUUCGUUAGCUUGAUAUCUAAUAUACGGUUUUCCUAUGGAUUUUUAGCAGACUGUGAAUGAUGUGAUCAGUGGAAUAAUAUUUUAUGGGACCAAGCUGUACAUGCAAAGGGUGGGUGAGGGUCAACGCAGGAGAGCUGCCCGAGUGACGGCCAUGGUGUUGCUGAACACUCGAAUCGUUUCCCGCUACGAGACCGUAGAAAAGAUGACAAAAACCAAUGCCAAGUCCCCAUGGGGGAACCAGUUUGGUUUCCUCCAUGUCUCCAUUCCAACGAGUAAGAACGCCGAGAAGGCCGACCCCCUCUACUUUAUCCGGAAAGCAAGGAAGAUCAUCAAGGCAAAACGAAGCUCGUUUGCUGUCUAUCUCACCGGCAGAUUGCUUGAGAUGCUGAGAAAACUCAAAGGCCCAGAGGUAUGACUUGACAUUACAAAAUUCUUCCAUAAAUUGAUCCAUCAAUGUGGUAAAAAUACUUGUCAAUGUGAUAAAAAAAAAUUGUUCCAUAAAUUGAUCCAAUACAAGUGCAAAAAAGAGUUUUGUUGGUGUCAAAACUAGCAGUCAGACAUGUAGCAAGCACAAUAGGUUGGACCUGUGAAGUUUUUUUUUUUAAGAAUUAGUUAAUCUAAAACAAAUCUAUUUUGGUUCAUGUUGUAGCUAAUAGUUGGCAAGUAAGAAGCAAACUAGCAAUGCAUCAUACAUGACAGCUUACCUUGAUCUAUAAGAGGCAUUGUUAAUGUUUGCUCCUUCAAUGCAGUAACUCGGCACAUUUUUGGAUCGUUUGCGAUGUCAAAAUAAACCAUCUUUUUUGAAUCAUUCAUCUUAUACUCUUUUGAUAUUGUCAUCAAACAAGUGGUUGGAUGUUUCGGGUGCAAGUCAAUGUUCGGCUACUUGAAGUAUCCUAAUUGACUAUGAUCAUAUAAAACAUAGAGAUACUACCAAAUUUUUGUUCGGAGGGCGCAUUUCAUUGAAGAAGAGGAGAGGAAGCUCAAUAUCAUGGGUAUCUAUUAUAUUCAUCCUCUGUUAUUAAAAAACCCUGAUAUUGUGAGAGCUAGGCUCGGUCAGAUACAAAAAAAAAGAUUUCAUCUUUUCAAUACAAAAAAGAUUUUAGCUUUUUGAAAAAAAUACAAUUUUUUUUUUGUUUAAGAGAUCGGAUGUAAAUUAUUUUGUCUUGCUCAUUAAUGCCCUUUUCUUUCUCAAUCUAUUAACAUAUUGGAUAAUCCUUGUACAUGUGUUGUGUAAUUUUACUGCAAAUUGCUUUGGUUUUUCUCCCAUAGCUCAUUAAUUAUUUUUAUUGAAUUGAUAAACAUUUUUCGUAUAAUUUUUGUUCUAACUUCAAUGAAGGAAGAAAGUAACAUCAAAUAUAACAGCUCUUUGUUGGAGCCAGUUUUCUAUGGAAAUAGCAACAGAUAAUGGACAAAAAACCUAGUGUGCGUUUUUGCAUGUAUAACCAUCAUCACCAUUGUGUGAUCAAAUGCAUGCAUGACAGAGAUUUAGAUAUUCAAUUUGCUAAUUAUGCUGAACUUUGAUUUCUUUACAAGUGUGUCCGCUUUCUUUUACUCAUCAAUGCUCCUUUCAGAUGAAGAUGAGGUGUCUUUCUCAAUUUACUAAUGUAUCGACUAAUCUUAUUACACAUUUAUGUAAUUUUACUGUAAAUUGCUUCAGUUUUUCCCCAAUAGCACAUCAAGAUGCACUACAACUAUUUUUAUUAAAUUAACAACAUUUCUGUAUACAAUUCGCAUGCAACCCUUAUCAUCAUUAUGUGCCCAAAUUUAUCAGUUAACAACAACUUAGUGGUGGCUAGGUAACUUAGAGAUCAUGCCCUUAGAGAUGCUUCACCACUUUUCACCAAGUAAAGAUUACAAAUGUAAAAAUUUUGACCCUCUGAACAAACUUAAAAAUUUACUCUUUGGUUAAAAAACCACAGAAGUAGCCAACUCGAUCUGCAGCACAGUUGGCAAACCUAGUCCAUCUAACUCGAAGAUUGACUAAAGUUACAACAUCCACUAGAGUAACCAUCAACUAAUUUCACCAAAUCCAUGUAUAGAGCAUGAGCAAGUAUAUAUCUCAAGUUCACUAUGUACUACACUUGACCUCAUAGUGAAAGCGAGUCUUUGUUGCUCAACAGCAAAAUAGAGCAUCAAGUGGAUCUCGAUCGAUGGGCUAUGUCAACCAUCAGCUUUGCCCCUGAAGCACAAGACAUCGGCCGAUAUAUAUGGUGCUACAACCAGAUGGCACUCUUCGAAUAUGAGAAACAAUGAACUAGUAGAUGGAAGCUAAUCAUGAUAUUGACAUUGCUUUCUGUUGGUAUUUGGUUGCACCAACUAAUGCAGCAUCUCUUUUGCCUUCGUCAGGCUGCUGCCUUGUACAUACACACAACGCUAAGGAAAUCAAGCAUGACGGUCUCAAACUUGGUCGGACCAAUCGAGCAGACGAUCAUUGCUGGACAUCCAGUUAGGAGCUUCCAUUUUAUGGUAGUCGGAGUCCCGCAGGUAAUUAAUAAUCACAAGACUUCAAUCUCAUGUUCAUGAAUCAUCUUGCAUCAGCUUCUUGGUUCUCAUGGCUAGUGAUUGGAACUAAUUAAUGAACUUGCUUGUAGAGCCUUACAAUAACGGUCAUUAGCUACAUGGGCAAGUUGAAGGUGGCUAUGGGAGUGGAGAAAGGCUUCAUAGAUUCGGAGCUUCUGAUCUCGAGCUUGAAGAAGUCGUUUGAGAGGAUCUUUGAAGCAGCAAUUGGGCAAGAGAACUUAAACAGGUGUUUCUAGUGAUAGAGCAGAUCAUUUGACAUUGUUGCUUAUGGAUUAACUGUUGCUUGCUUCUUUUGUAAUAACCUAGGGUCCUCACCUAAAAUAGUGAGCCGAAAGGUAUUAUUUCGGUUCUUUGAUUUUGUAUAAGUACCCAAGAUCUACCCAACGAAUAAUUGAUAUGGGACUAAACACACACUGCAUGAGUCCUCACAUCUUCAAUGAAUUAUGAGGAAAGAUUUAAGUAUCGAGGCUGAUUCCUAGUGCAAUACUCGUACAAUUUAAGGCCAGAAAUUUUCCUGUAUGCAGAUCUGAAUAUGUCCAUGAAUGGCAGAUGGGUGACCAUGGCAAGAUAAUUUUGAUUCCAACAAUAUUAUAUCUCCAGCCGGAUUGAUAGGUGUCAAAUGCGUGCUGCAACAUGAAAAUUCUACCUUAAACAUCAUUUAUCAUCCACGAGCUUAUCAAUGUUCUCAAUUGUGAGUUCAAAAACGGUCACCUGUGCACUCAGGACUUGUUCCAAUUAAAUAACCAUAGACUACGUAGAUGAAUCCUUAAGCGGCCAUUCAUCUGAGAUUUAUUUGGCACAAAUCAUGAUGCACUUAGGAUCAUGUGCACAAAUCUGAAUGCGCCUGAUUCCUGUCGACACUACUGCCUUUCCUUUGUGCCUUCCCACUGUGUAUCCGUUAAUUUCACUGUCCCUCUGCUUGCUCUUCUUCCCAUAGCAUGUAUUUGACCAACCUGUAAACAUCUGUAACAUUUCUCUUAUUAAUAAACAGGGAGCAGCAGCCUGCAGCUACCUCCUAUUUCGAUUCAAAAAAAAGAGAAAAUAGUAUUGAGCCUAAUAUUUUUUAUUACAAUUGAAAAUCAUAUUUCCCAUUUGUGCACCAAAAAUAAUUCUACAUAGAAAGACCCAAAUAUUUAUAGCAUGCAGUAGCAAAACAUAAGACUUACACAUCGAAUAAGGGGAUUCAAUGUUGUUUGAUGACCAUGCUCAAAUUACAUCCAAAAUGAUGCAAGUUAAAAUAAAAACCGUCGGCAAAAGGAGUACUGGAUCCUUUAUUAGCUGAGGCUAUAGGGGCUUCCUGCCUGUGGGUGAACCCAACAAGAAUAAAUUGAUAUGAGCCCAGUAUGAGCCAUGUCAAAAGAUGAUUCAUAGUUCACAAAGUAUUGCACUGAAAGCAAGUAGCACCAUUCCCUUCAUGCCAUGUUACAAAAAGUUGUGCUUUGAUAUGUUCUUUGUUACGAGGGUUGAGCCCCUUAAAGUCACCGAUACUAAAAAUCUACAACGGUGGUCUCGGUCCCUCGAUUGUUUCUAAACAAUCGCAUAGUUAGGAGAUGGGCGACAAUCAUCCAUCUCCGGAAUAAGCUGUGAAUUGUCUAAGUAUACAUUAUUAUUUAUGAUGCAAAACAUGCACCGCAAAGGAUCUGCACUCAAAAAAAUUUAAAAUUAAUUAAAUUGUUUAGCUAUACAUUUUAGAAAGCAAACCCACAAAUGUGGCUGCAGGCUGUUGCCGAAGAAACUGGUAGUUAUCAGGGGCCGGCAGGCUAGACUCGUGGCAGUUGGAGGACGGCGAAUCUUCAAUCAGUCUGUCGCCGAUGCCAAGGUCAGAGCUGCCUAGGAGGAGGUCUUCUAUGCGAGACAGAUGCUGAUGACAUACCGUAUCAUCCUCGAGGAGAACUCAGCCACUGUGAUCGAGGGGACUUAGGGUCUUGGGAGUGCUGUCGGGGGGACGGGAUUGCUCCACGAAAUUCGUCGUCUCUUAGGCGAAUGCGGCACCUCUCGGGCUAUCCAUGUUCUCAGAGAGGUCAACAGUGCGACGGAUUGGGUGAUGUCCUACGUGACUCAUUACUUCGGGGGUUUUAUCUGGAAAAAUCAUGAUUUUAUUUUAGCUCCAUUGCAUUGUCAUUUAUUGUCGGACUCUUUGGGCUGUACUCACACCCGAUAUGUGUGAGCCGCCGAUGUACCAAAAAAAAGAAAAAACUGGUAGCUCAUAUCGCCCACCCAUAUUUUCUGAUUAAAAUUUUUUAAUAUACAUGACAAGUCCUUCUAUACCGAAGCAAAUCAUAGGUCAUAUGUGUUAUAGUUUUAACUUAGAAAAAAAUAUUAAAUUUAAAAAAUAAAUAUACCAGCUUUAUUUUUUAAAUUUUAAAUGGUUUAAAAAUUUUUAAAACUCUUAUUCUUUUUUAGAACAGACUUUUUUGAAAAGAACGUUGGUUCUGAUUUCCGUAGAGAUGUGAUGUUUCUGAAAUAUUGUAUCUUUGGAAAUGCCGUACCGUUUCAAUCAUCGGAUAGAGUCUAUAAAUAGGCUCUGAGUCCAGUAUUUUGGUUAACUUAAUCCACAUUAGUUCCCUACUUCUUAAGGUGAAAUAGAGAAUUAAUUCUUCUUUUCUUUUUCUUUUUCUCUUUUUCAAAACUUCUUUCAACGUUUUCUUUUUAUCUGGGCAAUUGAAGGAGCUGGUCAGAUCCAUUCUCCUAGCGAUCAUGCCCAUUAGAAGAGGAUUAGACCGAGCUUAGUUAUUUUAUCUUGGGGACGACAUCGCCGCAAACCUGUACGUAGAGGGCGAAUCAUGUUCUUAAGGCAAUGUAUAUCACACGCCUCGAUUUAGACAAAUUCUUUUCAACCUUCUGAUUUUUUUUUCUCUAUUAGAUUAUUUCUUUAGAAUAUUUUUAUAAAAUAAAGAUAUAGCAUUUUUUAGACAAAAUAUUUUCAAUAAUAUGCAUGAAAUAUAACCAAUAUAAAAUAUAAAAUACUAACUAAUAAGAAAUAAAAUAGAUACGUUCUUAUACUUGAUUUACUGAUAGCUUACAGAGCUCCAUGAGCCAUACCUCUACACAUUGCACUAUUGUCACUCAAAAAAGAGAUAAUAUGCUUGCAGAACCCCACCCUCUACGAAAGAAACAACUAGAGACACGAGCAGCGUAUUGGGCAGAGAACUUUUAUCUUAGUUGCAUCAUCUCUGUGCUUCCGAAAGGUGCAGCGCAGCAAACUCAGAUUAACAUUACCAAAGUCAAGCAUACCCGCAGGUCCCGUACUCACACCAAAGCCGGGCGCCCCGUCUUUAUUAAAAAAAUAAAAUUUAUAGAAACUAUUUAUAAAAAAAUUAUAAGAAAAUCCCCACUUUCUGGAUCUAGCGUUGGGACCGUCGACGCUUAAGAAGCGUCGGCAAAUUUUGGCGCUUGGCCAAAAUUACCGAUGCUUUUAGAAAACGUCGGCGUAUAUGCGUUGGCAUUUCUCCUUUUUCCUGCAGUGUUCUCUGAAGAUAAAUGCUUGAAGUUUGAUAAAAUUUUCUGCAAAACAUAAUAAAUAGAACUUAAUUUAAAAAAAAAAAAGAGCAUUUCGCUCCUCCUAUAUUUUCCAAUAGUCAGCAACAAUCAACUGAUCCGCAGAUGCCACAGUUAUUGCGAUCGCUGAGCACGUUCCAGCAGUGGUUCUUGCAGCAGUAGAGGAGCUGGGUGCCGUCUCUGGCCUCGGUCCCCGAGCAUAUGUUGUUGGUGACCGGAUCCCACUGGUCUCCUUUCUUCGCACUGAUCAACUUGAUUUAGCUCUUUCCAAUCUAGAAAGAGGGAGUAGAUCCGGUAUCAGGGUAUCACCUGAGGCUAGGAAGUUAAUUUUUACCUUCGGGCGAAUAGCACAAGAAGAAAUUAAUUGAUACAAGGCCCAUGCUCUAUUACUGAAAGGAAUCUACGAACUAUUUAGCAUGAGGAGUGAUAGGAAGCUAUUGAUGCUUUACACAACUUUACUGUAUAUUGCAUUGAUCCUGCAAGUAUAACCAAUCCCUUCCAACCAUGCAUGUCGCAUGCCAGAUGUGUAGAGAUUUUGUUUUUUAUUUUUGGUUACGAAGGUUGAACCUGGUAGCAUUAUUUGUACAUAUAUACUACUUGAAUCGAGAAUAGAGUCUUGGAAAAGCUGCCUUAAAUAUGUCUAAGCUACUCUCUUCCUCAACUUUUGUCUAAGAUGAUGUGAAGUAGUUGUACUGAAAAGGUGAACGAGGAAUUCGGGGCAUGAGCCAUGCCUUCGCACUUAUUGUUGCUCAAGGAAGAGGUAACAUGUUUACAAAACUCUCGUAUACCACCAUCUCACCCUUUAUGAAAGAACCAAAUAUACCACAAACUCAAGCAGGUUAUUGGACACAGAAUUUCUAUCCUUCAUCCCAACCCCAACCCUACCAGUGUACUUGUAUAAUCUCUAUACUUGAGAAGAGCGCAACACAAUGAACUCUCCCUCCUUAGAAGACACUACGAAGUCAAGCAUAUCCGCAGCUCCCAUACUCACACCUAACCCCAGGGUUGCACACCUUCCCACACUUGCCGCAGUUCUCAACGUCGUAGGCCACCGCGGUGCACUUCCCACUGCAGCAGAGCUGCCCGAACUUGCACUUGUUCCCGCAGAUCCCGCAGUUAUUGCGAUCGCCGAGCACGUCGCGGCAAUGGUUCUUGCAGCAGUCCAGGAGCUGGGUGCCAUCCUUGGCCCCAGUCCCCGAGCAUAUGUUGUUCGUCACCGGAUCGCAUUGCUCCCCCUUCUUCACGUUCUCGGCAAGGAACCGGCCACCGGAACGAGAGUUGAGGCCGAGGAAGUGGUCCGUCAUCACGCUGCCAUAGCUAUCCUCCAUGGCUGAUGCAAUGUGGCAUUGUGCGAAGGUCGAAACGAUCACGAUCAUCGAUAGAAUGGAGACCGCUGAUGUUGGAGAAGAGAGGCUUGCGGCGGCCAUUCUCUCCUCUCUAUCUCUCGCCUUCUUCUCUUUUCCGCUCUCACCUCUUCUCCCUCGACUCUCGGAUAUUUGAAGGAAGAGCUGGACUUAGAAAGUCAGAAUAUUCACGGGUUCACGUUAACAAACCGUAAGCUCACAUUCCUUUGUCUCAGCUCUUUAAUUGCACUGCCAUUUCUUUUAUUUCAUCAACGCGGCUCAAUGAACAGGUAGCACAUGAUUUGGUUGCAGCGGUUUCAUCUUACAAGGUUGACGUUUCCUACUUCAAUGACCUUGGUACGAGAUUGGAUCUCUCUUGGAAGCUGCUCAUUUAGUGGGCUACAAAGUCAAGUUAUAAGCACUUAAUCGUAUCAGGGAGGAGACAUUGGGAGCUAUCCAAGCUGUAAAUUCCUUUGGAACGUCUAUAGAGCUCUAUAUUUCUUGAGUUAAACAGUCUCGUUGAAGAUGGUUGGACAUGACUUGGCACGGUAUUUAGAAUCCAGACUUUCGUUUUUAAUGAUUACUUGAUCUAGACUCAAUUGUUGUUAUUAUUAUUAAUUGUCGACAUCAUUAAGGAUUACUAGUGGAAGUUGUGAUGCGAUCCACAUUUCCGGCGGGAAACGCGUGGGCGCCACAAGAGGUGAGAUACCUGAUCGAACGUCGCACGCGAGAAUGGAUGGUGGGCCCUCGUGGAUCAAGGCCGACCUCCCAUGUGCUGCGGGGGUUCACACGUGCGACGAGGCCAUUAGUGGUUCGAGGUGGCACGUGUUGACCGGGCUGGCUCCUUGAAACAAAUAUUAAAAUAAGCGUUAUAUAAAAAUAAAGAUUAGGGAUUCCUUCGUGGCUAUCGAGGAAUCCGAGCGUUUGGGUCGUAUCUUUCGCGGGAAAGAAUGAUUUACCAUUUUUCGUGAUGUCGACCGUUGGAUCCUGCAAUGGCCACUUCAAGAGCCGUGCAAGCGGAUGAUAUAAAAAUUCCGGUGGUUUCCACAGCCCCGAUAACUCAGUAUUGGUGGCUCGUGUUAGAACCUAAACAGGCCAUCAUGUCACAGGCUCCUGGGUUUCUUGGCCUUCUCGAUAUCCGUGGAAACUAGGAACAUUAGGAAUUUCGAACCCUUUUUGCAUUUGAUCCUAGGGGCCUAGUUUUGAUUAAAAAAAUGAAAAAAAAAGAUCCGCAUUAUUUAUUUAAAUUGAUUGCUUUUUUUUUUCAGCACCAUACGACUCAUACCAAUUUAUUAUAAAUAUAUUUUAAAAAGUUAAAAAAUAAUAAAUGCCCAAGGCAACUCAUCUUCGUCUGUCCAAAAAAAAACUCUCCUAUAGCCAUUUGCAACAAAGCAGAUUAUCCAGUCCGCCGCUUCGUUGGCCUCCCUAAAAAUAUAUUUUGCCCCGAGAAUAAUGUCACUAUUAGUCAUGCCUCAGAUGUCCCGAAAUAAAAAGUGACAUCUCCCAGCUAGGCCAAAACACUCUUGGAUCUAGUAGAUCACCGUGCUCGAGUCAUUUUCUAAUAGAAUGGCAUCGGCACACGCCAAGCAUAACAUAGGUCUACCCAAGCUACUCUCAGCUCUGCCUUAGGAUCGAGAUGUCGAAGAUCAUGCGUCCUCUACCUGCCAUGACUCUAAAGUCCGAGCCAUCGUAAAGUGUACACCAUCCUCCUGCUACCAUCCAAAACACAUCUGGUUAGAACACUUUCUUUGGCACGAGCAAAAAGAGUUCAUCUGUUACUUUAAAUAAAAUGCUCAGGCAUUUACAAACUGUUCCUCCCCUUUGGAUUUUCUUCUUUUAUGGCUAUUUUUUAUUUCUUCCUACAUGCAUUAUUGCAUGAAAUGGUUUCUGUUUUCACUUCCUCUAUCAUUAUUACAGCAGUGCUGCAUGCAGUAACUUUGUAUAUGAGCUUUCUCCGUUGCAGGAUGUCCAUGGUAUUUUAUCUUUUUCAUGUUAAGAGUAUUUCAAUUUCUGGUGGCAUGAGAGUCUUGUAAAAUGCAUUUAUAGAUUGCAACCUAACUUAAAAAUGCAUCAAGUGAAUUCGUGCCUAGAUGUAUUACUUGAUCAUGAUAGCGUUAAAUUACUCAGAAUUCAAACAUUGAUUAGAAUAAUCAGUAACGUUUAUGAAUUGAUUAAAUUGCUGUUUUUUUUUUUGAGAAGUUUGGAGGAAGUAAGAGUCUUCCCCUGGGAUUAUAUUAUAAAUAAAUAUGUACAGCGCUGAAGGCGAGAAUGAGUGGCAUUCGCUGCCGAGGUGAAUCUAAUAAGCUUUCUUAGUAACAAAAGAUGAAUCUAAAUAAACUUUUCUUGUUUAAAAGGAAUUUGUGGCACAUUAAAUUCAUCAUUUUUAAGUGAAUGCAACUUUCAUUGCGGUCAAAUGUUACCCAAAAAUUUUUGUCUGUAAGAAGUUAAAUGCAUCGCAAUAUAAAUAUAUUCAUUAAAUACAAAUUAUUUUUUUAGCCCAAAUACCGAAUAGAAGAAUUAGUUUGUAUGAACCGUUAGUGAAUCUCAAAGUGCCGAUCUUUUAUUCGAUCACGCAUAAAUUUACAUGUAAUAACCUAAUAUGACUGUCGUGUAUCUUUAAAUCAAUUAUUUUAUGGUUUCUUUUUCACAUUCCACCCACUUAAAUCUUGUAGUUAAGGUGAUUUUACACCAAAAGGUUGGUAAAUGUUGAUUUUUUUUAGCAUACCACUGAAUAGCAUGACCACAUGUUUGCCUCAAGUUCAGCUUUUCCAUGCUGCAUGAUUUUUUUUUCUUGGUGUCAUUUUGGUAGGUAUGAAUCAUUUUGAUCACAAAUCACUCCAUGCAAGAAUAAGACUUCUAAACUUUCACCCGACAGUCAUUCAACCUUUUGACAUUCAUUCUAUUGAUCAACUUCAUAGAAACUAAUAAUAAGUCUUUAUGAGUUCCGGUAUUGACUCAAAAAUGAUGCCAACUGAAAAUUGGAAGUUGUCAAUUAACAAUUUCAGACCUAACCUUGAGCCAAAACCAUUAAUUAUUUCCAAGCUCAACUCAAACUAAGCUAGUUGGAAUAGGUUAAUGAGUUUAUUGUUGGUGCAAGAAGGAUUGAAAGGGAAAAAUACAAUAUUAUGCAAUUGGUCUCUUCGAGAAUGUAUUUUUAGGAGGAAAAAUAUUUAGCAUUAGUAUUUUAUGAAUGAAAUUACUUAAGAUUUGAAAACAUGAUCUCAUUAAAAACGGUGAAAAAAAACGUCAUUAAUCAUGGCAAGAGUUCUAUUGGUUACAUGAAUUUUAAAGUUUUCUUAUUAAACAACGUUUCUUAUUAAUUUGAAAUGUGAGGAUUGAACCAAAAAAACUUGAGAAUGAGGAGUUAUGAAAAGAUCUAAUAUACCCAANNNNNNNNNNNNNNNNNNNNNNNNNNNNNNNNNNNNNNNNNNNNNNNNNNNNNNNNNNNNNNNNNNNNNNNNNNNNNNNNNNNNNNNNNNNNNNNNNNNNNNNNNNNNNNNNNNNNNNNNNNNNNNNNNNNNNNNNNNNNNNNNNNNNNNNNNNNNNNNNNNNNNNNNNNNNNNNNNNNNNNNNNNNNNNNNNNNNNNNNNNNNNNNNNNNNNNNNNNNNNNNNNNNNNNNNNNNNNNNNNNNNNNNNNNNNNNNNNNNNNNNGUCAGCCUUCUGAGCUCGGCAGCCUGCUGUGCUCGGCAGCCUUCCGAGCUCGGCUCGCUGUCGGAUUUGGGUGCUUUAAUUGUAUUUGUGGGGUGGUCCAUUUUUCCCCCCAACAACACUGUUUCCGAAUUUGAGUAUAUAAACCUGGGCUCCUAAAAAUAUUCAACUGCAAGCCUACAAGUUUUGAUCUCAUGUCUGAAAUCGCUAAAACAAAGGCCUAAUGCAUGCAACUUAACCAGGUUCAUAAAGUUGAAAGGAAGCCUUACGGUCGAAGUCCAAACUUGUAUCCGAAUUAGGCUAUAAAAGGCACUAAACGCCACCACAAGAUCAAACUAAAGGCAGACUUGAGCUGCUGACCUUUUUGUACUGGAAAGUGGGUUCUAUUAUUUAUUUGGAUUGCAUCUUUUGACUUCUAGAAUUCAUGUAGGUUCUUUUCUAGGAAUCUCCUACGAACUUAGGUCCGUAUGAUGAAAAAAAAAGAAAAGAAAAAGCAUGACUAUAGUAUGAUGGUACCAUGACACAACGAUGAAGUAGUAAAAUGUGUGUUUUGACUUCGGAGUAAGAAAAUUGAGGCAGAAGAAUGGCUAUGUGGACUUUUUCUUUAUUUAUUUUAACAACGGCAGUGCACACACAACAGGUGUGGAUGCAUUCCAUCCGUUCCAAAAAAAUAAAAGAAUACAAAGGAGGACGGGACCAAGAAGUGGUUGUUCUAAAUGAAAUUCUUGGAAUGCUGAGCUGCAAAGGAUGACACUCAAUUUACUGCACUGUUGACCUCCUUAUAGGCAUGAGUAGUCCGAUGAAAGGUGCACUCACCCAAAAGUCAGCAGAUAUUAUGGAUUAGUCGCAUCUUAUUGGAAACAUGAUCCGGAUCCUAGAUCCACUUGAUCAUCAUAGCUGAAUCCCUCUCAAGGAUGCUACGGUCUAUACUCAGCAAUCGUCUCGCAUAGGAGACGCCCUCCUACGCAGCUCUGGCCUCGACACUGAUCACAGUCUGCUCAAAGAUUCGUCGACCCUCAGCCGCCACAAGUCUAACCUCUUGGUCUUCAAUGACAAACCCGGCGCCUCCGCUGCCUCCUUCCUCGUUGACGCCGCCGUAUAAGUUCACCUUGAGAAAAUCAGAGGGUGAGGAAUCCCAAAAUAUAGAUAUAGUCCUGGGUGUGACGAGAGAGACUUGGCUCCAUCCUUAUAUAUCCUUCAAAGUUUCAAAUAGAAAAAUGUCUUCUUCCUUUCUUUUUUAUUUUUUUCCCCUUCUUUUAUCUCCCAAUUAAAGCUGUCAUGUGGGGUAAGAUGGGCCAACCGGUUCGGAUGCAACUGCGAGAUCCAUAAAGCUGCCAUUGGGGCCCGGUCUGGCCGUGAGAGGCGACCAAACCAAGCCCACAGUUGAAAUAGGUCACAUGUACAGUUCAGAUAGCCCGAGAAAAUUCUAUCCUGAAAAUUUAGAUAUAGUUUACUUUUAUACAAUAUAGUUUUGUUAUCAGUUUUUCAAUUGCAUCAGUAAGUUUUCGUGGUUCUAUUGUUGUUGUUGAGUGCGAAUAAGUUAAUCAGCCGGCUUUUCACUGAGUGCAAUGUUUGUCGAAAUUGUAGGAUUUUUAUCUCAGUAAUUAGAUAUACUUAGUUUUCAAUUGAAUCAUUAAUUUUUCAUGGUUUUAUUGUUCUUGUUGAGUGCAAAUAAGUUAAUCAGCUGGCUUUUACUAAGUGCAAUGUUUGCCAAAAUUAUAAGAUUUUACCAUUGGGCAGUUGGUUGAGUAUCACAAACUAAUAACAAAUACAUGCUUUUCGAGUUCGGCUCAUGUAUAAUGCGUGUUUGUAUUGUAGAAGACUGUAUAGCCUUAUGUUGCUAUGUCAUCCAUCUCAGAGAGAAUAAUAUUGGCAACUUUCAGAAAGAGCAUCAUAUUGGAUUUCAAACAUAAUGUGCCACGACAGCCUUUUAUCUUUUAGAUGGAUGAUAUGGUGGCUAUUCAGGAUUCUACCUACGCUUUCUAGCAACUAAUACCUUCUAAAAAGUUACAUAUAAACUUUAGUAAAAAAGCUGCACCUACCAUCAAGAUUGGAUCCGCUACUUCAAUAGAUUCAAGGAUGAAUGAGACUCAACAUUGGUAUGACCAGAUAGGUUCAAGGAAAAUUGCUCAGAACCAAACCCAAGAAAUGGUAAUAUGCUAGGGGCAUGUUCGGCUGGGGAAGUUAGGCUCUAGAAUGAGAAUAGAAAGGACUGACUCUUAUUUAUUGUUUGGUUGGGGAUUCCAUUUCGAUUCUAGAGAAAUAAGAAUGUCCCAAUCCCCUAAAACUAAUCUCCACUCUCCUUUAAUAUUCUAAUCCUAUUAAAUAUGACCAUUCCGAUUCUAAUUUUGAUUCUGAUCAUGAAUUAAACACCUCUAAUUUUCUAUAAAGAUAUAGUCACUCUCUUUUCCUCAGUGAAUCAAGUUAAACCUUAAACUUGCAUCAAUUCAAAUAUUAAACAUUACAAUCAGUUCGAACUCCCAUGAUGAUCAACGCAAGCAUAAGCUUCCAAUCCAGUCCAUUCAUGCAAUCAUACCUAUACCUUUCAUGCUAAAUAGGCCGGUAUCAUUUUUAGAUGCAUAAAAAGUUCCAAUUGGUGCUUCUAAUUUAUCUUUAAUGAUUUUCAUGUAAAAUGUUUUGCUACCAAAGCUAGAGAUGAGCACUUACAAUGUUGCAUUGCAUCGUAAGUCCGCCAACGCAAGCUUCUAUCCGUUAGCAUACUUUAAGUAGGGAUAAUAAUUUACGAUUCAACCCGUCAAUUUGUUUCGUAAACGAUCCACUUUAAGUAGGUUUAGAUUUUACAUAAAUGGAUUUGGGUCGUAAAUGGAUCAAUCCAUCUAAAUGGGUCAAGUUCAUGCUUAAAUUUUUGAUCCGUUUAAUCCGUUUUGACCCGUUUAAUAAUUGGAUAAGAUUAUGACCCGAUCCAUUUGAUCUGUUUCAGACUUAUUUAACUCGGCUCCCUCAACUUGUUUAAAUUUAUUUAACAUGUUAAAAUCCAUCUAAUCUAUUUAAUUCAUUUAAUCUGAUUUAACUAGUUUAAUAAAUAGGUUAAGUUUAAAUUUAAAAUUUUAAUCAAUUUUGUAAUAAAUAGGUUGAAUUUGAACUGAUUGACCGCAUCUAAUUCAAUUUGUAUCUGACCUCACUCGUUCCAAUUGCCACGCUGCGGCUACCUGGACCAAAACGUAAAAGCCAUCGUGCCUCAGCAGACGCCUAUAAAAUCCCCCGACCUCUCCGCCGAAGACGUUGUGUCCUCCAUUUAGGCUCCGUUUGAAAACUUGGAAUUGAGGAGAAAGAAAUGGAGUGGAAGGGAAAGUUAAAAAUUUUGAUGUUUGGGAGUUUUUUAGUGAAGGAAAAGGAGAAAAAAAAAGAGGGAAUAGGAGGGAAAAUUUUGGUCUCCAAUUCUCUCCUUUCUUUCCUUCCAUAAGUGGAAGAAUUUGGAGAGAAAGAAAUUGGAUAUUAAUAAUUUUUUUAUAAUACAUAUUUUACCCUCUACUUAUAAGCAUAUCCUUUUUAUAAUAAAGAUAUUUUAAUAAAAGUGUUAAUAACGUAUGCUUUCUUUUAUUUUCUUUACAAACUUUCAAACAAGGGGAAAAAAAGUACCUUCUUUUUUCUUUUUUCUUCUAAAAUUUUCAAAUAAAAAAAAAUCUAUUCUAUUUCAUUCUUUUCUUUUUUUUCUUCUCAUUAAAAUUUUCCUUCGCUCCCCCCCACUCGCUCUCUCCCGGCUUUUAGAGUGGCCGGGGGCCACGGAGAGGACCCGAUCGGUUUUUGAAGGCGGUGAAGCAGCGGGCGGACGUGUACUACAAGGUCUUCGCCGUCCGGUACGGGCAGCAGAUCCUCCCCCAUCAAAGUGGUGGUUUCCCCUUUCAUCCUCGCCUACGACGCCGCUGCCUCCGCCCCCGCCGCUUUGGCAUACCCGAGCUUGCCUCUCGCCUCGCCUUCGCCGCCAUCUUCGCACGCUGCGUCUUUCUUUUCUUGAUCAGAAACGGGCCUUCCUUUUUUGAGUUCUUGAUCGGAGAUCCCGGUUCUUUUGAGUUCCUGAUCGAUCUUUUUUUUGUUGUUUUUAAUAAAAGUUCUGGAAAACCCUAGUUCUACAAUAUCUCUGAGGUCUUUGAUCAUAGAUAAUUGCGUUUUUGGAGUUCUUGUUCAGAAGCAAUUACGUUCUCUGAGUUCUUGAUUGGAGAUUGUGUUUAUCGGAGAUUUUCGUUCUUUUAAUCCUUGAAAAUUCCCGUUCUAUAAUAUCUUUGAGUUUUUGACAAGUAGUUACGUCGUUUGAGUUCUUGAACAGAAAUAUUUACGUUCGUUUGAGUUCUAGAAAAAUUUUGUUCUUUUAGUUCUUGAAAGCCUUAAUUAUAAUAUCUGUUAAUUCUUGAGCAGAAAUUACGGCAUUUUGACCAGGUGAUCCGAGAAAUCACUUUCUUUGAGAUCUUAACUGGAGAAUGCGUUUUUUUUUUUCCUGACGUCUUUAAAAAAACCUGAUUUUUGUAGUUUAUCUCCCAACAAAUACCCACACGUAACGCACACAAACACACACAAACCUGAUUUUCUUCUAUGAGUUGGGUUGCAGGUUGUAGCAAUUCUUGGAACCUACCAAUAUUUCCUUGGAGUUUGGAAGGAAGGUGAUCUGCCAGAGAUAAUGCUUCGUUUGGCUUUCUGGUUGAUGUUCUUUCUUGUUUUCAGUAUUAUCUUUUUGUGUUCUUUCUGUCAUGAUUGUACUUGUGGUAUUUAGGAGCCAGUAUUUUCUUGAUCUCCUUGCAGCUUUAUGUAUGGCUUGUGGAUAUUCUAUGGAUAUUUGAUGCUUGUGGCAGCGUCCCUUUUUUAAGAUUCCAAUGUUUUUUUUUAAAAAAAAAUUAUAUCAAAAAGGGGACUUCGUACGCUGGAACACAAAAGGAAAUAAUUGACUGUAGGCGUUCAUUACUAGAGAGAAAGUUGUAUGAUUUUAUACUUCAGUUAUAUAGAAAAGUUUGAUAAGCUUAGCUUGGUUUUGAAGUUGCAGCAUAAGGUGCAUAUAAUUUGUUUUAAGUGUUAGGACAGAAUGGAUUUGGUAACUUAUGCUCGUGUGAUUGUUGCCUUUUUGACUAGCUUCAGAGUAAGAAAGCCUCAAUAUCAUUUGCUUCGUUAUAUAUUUAUAUAUUCAGAUGUAGCAAUAAAUUCUCUUAAAAUAAAGGAGAGUGAUAUGAAUAUGUGCCUCCCAAAUCUUAACAAAAUGCUCAGGGUUCAUCAAUGCUCAGCUUUUAACAAUUUUCUAUAUAUUUUUUAUUUAUGCAAAUAUUGAGUAAUUCAGAAUUAUUCAUGCAAUUGUCUUCCUCAAAUAACAUUACCGAGAAAGUUGCAUUCUACUAUCCACUGUAUAUUGAUAUUCUCAUGAUUCAUCAAGCCAUUUGGACUCCAACUUGGACUAAAAUUCCUAAUCUGAAAAUAUAAAUCAUGCAAACUUAAAUCGCCAUAAUGUAGUGUAUGCUUGCUCAUGCUUCGGUAGUCAGUUCCAAUGCCUUUUUAAGGUGCUGGAAGCAUAAUUCUUCCUUUUUUUGACCUUCACUGUAAUAGUAAUGAGCAACCAUCUCCAUUUGUAAUAAUAAAUCAGAACGGACUUAUGCUUAUAAAUAUAAAGUACAUUAUGUUGAUUUACAUAUGGAGUUGUCUUAUAGUUUCCUAGGAAUUCUCGAACAUGCAAUGGUUGGCAAGCAUUACGAUGCACCAUGUGCAAGGGUACAGGGAAGGUGCACCAUGUGCAAGGUUACAGGGAAGGUGCACUAUGUAGUGAAAAUUAUAGCCCAAAAAGGUAGAGUCAUGUCGAUAAUUGAAGUUUUCUUUUCUUGUCUUUUCUUUUUCCAGUAAUGUUAUGGAACUUUAUCUUAAAAAGAAAGAUAUUGUAUAAAAUUUCUGUAUCAAUUGCUAACAGUUGGGAAGUAACUGUUGUUUCAAAAACUUUUCCGUAUAUCAAUUUGAGGAACUACAGGCAAAUAUCCAAAUCUGUAGAUUUAAAUAAUUUCUGGUGAUGUUCUGCACCCAGUACAUAUUUUGUUCAUCUCAACACCUUAUGAACAUUAUUCCAUCAACUCUUCUAGUAUGACAUUGGUCAUCUGUCUUCAUGAACUACAAUUGCUUUAAAAACUGGAAAUUGAAGUAAAAGUUUUAGGCGGAGUGCUCUUAUAUGAAGGUGAUAUACAACAUGAAAAAGAUUACUACUGUCAAUAACUCAACCUUAGAGGUCUAUUUGUCGAGGAUGAGUCCACCCAGUGACCUCCCAGUGCACCAAGCCCAAGUCAUUAGACAACACUCUGUCUCUACUCUGUACUUGUUGACCAGAUCAUGAUAGCACUAUGCCUUUCUAUAGUUUCACUUCUUUGUCAAACCUCACAUGUUUCUUUCCUUGUAAAUGACUGCCAAUUAGAACAAAGAAAAAAGUUCUAUUCCAUUUUCUUCUUGUUAGUACCCACUCUUUUCCAGGGUAGGCUGGUCAUUGCAGAUUGUAGGUUUUCUUGUCUGGUACAAAAACAAUUUCCACUCCACAUCUAUUUUAUAGUUCUGUCUUGUAAAAGAUUUUGAAAUUUUUUAUCAAGUUCUCACCAGACAAUGUAUCUCGUUGAUUUUCAAAUUCUGUUUCAUUGGUCGCUUUGGACUAAAAUGUUAUGAUCUAGCAAUACUCUGAUUUUUUUUUUUGUAACUUGCAAUGGAAAUUCAGUUUUCCAUCCCCACAUUGGAGGCCGUUGAAGAUCCAAAACUAUCCUUGCCUUAUAGGUGCUCCUACACCAAUCCGUCACAUCCUUGCUCCUAUAAUGCAACUCAAAUGUAUAUGUCCCUCCCAGUCAUCUCGAGAAGUACUUAAGAUAGAAACUGCAAAUGGACAAAGCCAUACACUUAGCUCUCCAAAAUAUCAGCUUUUCUUCUAUUUACAAUCUCUGGCCAAUUCUAAGCUUCUCCUAGGCCUUCUGCUCAACUUAAUGUUGCCAGAUCACAGUCCUAGCAUAAUCUUCUUUCUGAAGUCUACCCAUAUUCACCUUUCUUCAUCAGCUUACGUCAUCGUUGCUUGUAUUUCCUAACCUUCAAAGCCACCUUUCAGUUAACUCAGUUUCAAUUCCUUAACUCUUCCAAUUCGCUCCUCCCUCGUUUGCUACAAUCUGCUUUGAAUUCUCAAAGUUGUGACUUCUAUUAUUCUCCAUACUACUCCUUGGUGGAAAAAUUCCUACUAGGAAUAGAGACAAGUAUUAAUUAAAUGUGGAAAGUCUCCUGCCAUUGUAAAGCAGUUCACUAUUAUGCUGACAGUCUUGUUAUCAAUCCUCUCCUAAUUGGGUUGAAAAAAUAUGAAAAAUAAACAAUUAAAUAAUCAUGAUAAGCAGUAGAAAUUCACCCUAAUCUGUGACAUGCAAAAAAGCAUCUAGGAACUGUUGCAUAUUUAUAAGUAGACUGGAACAAGUUUUGAGGAUAACAUGUGAGAGAACUUAAUUUUUGGUGUUUUAAGUCAUUAGUGUGUCUGUAGGUGACAAUGGAGAUAGUAUCUUGAGAGAGAACUUGAAAGAGAACUUAAUUUUCUCAUAAACCUUUCAUCAGUUUUCUUAGAACGAAGCACCCAUAGUUGACCUUCAGGGCAAACAGACUUAUUUAUUACGAGAUAUUGUUAUUUCAUAUCUUCUUUCUUACAUAAUCCCUCAUGUUACUUAUUAUAGCCUGUAGGUUUGACUCCACUAUAGUUUGUGCAGUAGUGUAUGCUUCUUUUAUCCUUUAAAAUGGUAGCUGAGCAAAUCAGACACAAAGAACCUGAGAUUGGAUGGCCGUUCAGUAUAAAGGACAGCAGGAUCUUUGUUUUGUUCUGGUCUUGGACUGCUCCUAUAGAAUGUGUCUUUUUUUAUUAUGGUAUUAUCUGGUGAGACAAGUAUUUAGUGUGCUUUAUAUUAGACAAUAGCAUGCAUGUCAAUUUGUGUUUCAGGUAUCUAGGCGUCAUGGUUACCAUCUCAGCCAAGAUAUUGGUUUUUAACAGUACAGUAAGAUGUAUGUAGUAAAUCAUCUCUUGUUAUCUUGGAUAUGAACAGUUGUAUUUCCGCAUAUUAGCUGAUUAAAUGUUAAUAUUUCACCUGAGAUUUUCAAUCAGUUAAUUAUAUCUUGUUGUUUUUUUAAUAUUUAUACUUGAGAAACAUUAAUAUUAAAUUUAAAAUGAUUAUUUCCACUUCUACUAUAUCAGUUGAUAUUUCAAUAUCUUGAUUGUUAUAUAUCUCUCAAGAUAUUGAGUUUCUUAGUUUAUGUAAUCAAUGAUAAACCAAUAUCGAGGUUAUCUUGGUAUCUCUCACCCAUCGGGAUAGGUGAAAUAUUAGAGGUCCAGAUAUUGUUUGGCAGGAGCCUUUCCAUAUGGAAAAAGCAAUAUAGUUUGUAAUUUCACAUAGGAAGUUACUAUUCAUAGGACCAUUUUGAACAUGGAUCAUAGUGCUUUUACCCUGUUCCUCAUACCCUUGAUCAUAGCAUGAGGGAUCCGAAGAUUACGGCCUUCUGGUUAAUUACCAUACCUCAAGUUGGGAGAAUUCAACUUUAAUGAUCAUGUCAAGCAGAAACUUUGGUGGGCAUACAAGGUUGGUCUGUUACAUUCUUAAAUUAUCGGCAUGCACCUUAUUUUUUAUUUACUUUUAGAAAUUCUUUUUGAUUACUAGCCUUGUGCAUGUUACAUGAGGACCCAUAUUUGAACUUACAUAAACCAAAUUGGAGGUUAAUUCACAACUUGACAUAUGCAUAAAACGAAAAUUAGCUUGAUCUAGAUUUCAGUUACAAAUGAAAUCAUCAAAUCUUUUAAGAAACUUUACAUGAAACAUGGCAAAUGUGCAUAACCACCAAACUGAACAAGGUUAUCAAAUUCACAAAAGGCUAUCUUAUUCAGGAUCUCAUUUUGUUGCUCAUCAACCAAAAAUAAAUAAAUAAAGGAUACCAAAUCCAACAUUCUAUAUUACAUGAAACCCAGAACUCCUGGGCUCAAAUCUAGCUCCAUGAUAAUGAGGCCUGCUAAGUAAAGCAGGGUCUAAACUCACAAUUAGCCAAAUUCACUCUGCCUUUUGUAACAUUACAUAGUUUUUAUUCAUAACAUUAUGGUACACUUAUAUCUUUCUAAAAUAUUUGAACGGCCUCAUGAUUAUUUGAAUAUUCUAUGCAAACUGUAAGCAUGAUUUUGAAACCUUUUUUUAUUCGAACAUCAUAGAACAUCAAUACAAGGGGUAAAAGUUGUGUACUGUUUUCUUUCUGUCCUGUAACUAUGUUCUGUUUUCCACCUGGUGAUAUAUUAUGCACCCACAUAUGGAAUUUUUUUUACUAUUUCGCAUCUUAGAGUUUCUAAUCAGUUUAUGUGUUCAUAUUGAUUUGUGACGUCUUGUAUAUGAGUUUCUAAUGGUUGCUAUGUGACAACCUGGUUGGGAGCACCUGCAGGAUGUGAGUAUCAACCUGUUUUCGAGAAUUUUAUGUACUCUUUCAGAAAUAUGAAGUGCAAACCUCGUCUAAUGAUACCAAAUGUAUAUGUUUUCAAGAAACUGUAUCAUCUUUCCUCUCUUCUUGUCUUCGAGGUAGUUGCAGUAUCAAACCAUAAAAUAUAGUCCAUUAAUGCCCCUACUGAUAUUGGUGAGUGUAUAGCUGACUAGAACAUUGAUAGUUCAUAUUGGUGCUUGAUAAAAGCUUUUGCGACUAAUAUAUGCUUUAAAUCAAAUAUGCGGUUAACGUUCAUCCAUAAGCUCUAGGGACGGAUUUUUUGCAUAUUAUUUGGUCUAUCUAUACAACUUCCUUUCCUAUGAUUUUUUUCAAAGAAGAUACACAACUAUAAUCAUAACCAUCCAUUCUUUUCCAAAGAGAUACAUGAUGAACUAUAUAUCAGCUAAUUUCCCAUGUAUUUUUCUUAUAGGAUAUUCUUUUAAAGAGAAUUUUUGAAGAUAGGAAUAAAUGUAGCUUAUUCAAGGAAAGUGCAAAAAGUAACAGAGAAUAAGAAAAUCAAAUGUAAGAAUGUACUCUGGAUUAAGUUGAUAAAAAGGAAAUAUAUCUUUGCUGCAGUAAUAUACAGCGCUGAAGGAGGACACGAGCAACUGAACUCAUUUAUAUUUGAUUAAAUUUGUCAUUGUUAGUCUGAAAUGAUCUGACCACAAUGAUCCAGUGUAUUGAAGAGAUUACUUUAAGUUAUCAUGGUCCUACAUCUGUCCAAGUUAUCAUUUAAUAACUGAAUUAUUUAGAAGUAAAAAUAAACAAAUGCAUUUUAAACAAUCUAAGGACUAGUGAGGUGUCUAAUACAAUCACCAUAUAGAGGAUUGAUGAAAAUGUGCUUCACAAGUGUCAAUGAGAUGUUUAACCACCCCCCUCCCCCCAUCCCAACAGACACAAAUAAAAAACGAAACACAUCCUCGCAAAAAAUCUUUUUUCCUCGCGCUCUUCUUUCCUAUCAAGUUAGAUUCAAAAUUUCAGUAAGAAAAAGUUUCGUACUUAUAUACAUAUAUAUUUUAGUUCAAACGAGAUUUGUUGGAGUUAUUAGAAUUUAAAACUUUUAAUAAGUGGGAUUUAGGAAGUAAGAGAUGUGAUCCGUGAUAGUGGAUGAUAAGGCUUUGAUUUAGGAAUUUAACCUAACUUUUUGCAUGGGCUGUCAGACUGAAUAAUAUUUUUGUGAUUAAGAGGGAGAUCUACAUUUUGGAAUGGUAAAACUUUGAUUUUUUUUUUUGUGCUUCUGGUGGUAUAUGCGGGAAGAAACCAAACUAGAAGGUACAAACAAGAUCCAUAAUGUAUAACCCUGCAGACCGUCAAGUUCUUUCACCCAAAAGCUUAAGUUAGAGGCCCUUGAAUUUUUAUAUUUCAUUGAAUAUGAUAUUUUCUUUGCUUCUAAUUGAUCCACCAGUUUUAAAGACGAGAGAUCCAGAUGAUAUGCCUCAUAUUUAACAUGUUUCAUGACGGUAAUAAAAUUGAGCUGUCUGUUAGUCCUGUCUCAGAUGCUCACCAAUAUUCCACCACACCCAAGUAACUAAUCCAAUAAAGUAUGUUACAUUCUUUUUUUCCUUAUAAAUUUUUUCAUAAAUCUUCCAACCCUCAUUCUGUAAAAUAAUUCUGCGACCGUUGACCACUUAGAGUGGAAUUUUCAGAAAAGUUUUUGGCUCUAAAACACUAUGUGGAAUUAGGAAUAUAGUCAGAUCUGCUACAUGAUUUGGUCACCAACAUAUCCUGUUGGUACUAUAUCUGCUUGUGUAUAUGUGUGUGUUUUUUGUGUAAAUUUCAAAUUUGUUAUAUGCUUCGCAACUGUAUGUUGUGUUGUUGCCUUUUCCGCAAUGAAAUGAAACUGCUUCCAUUUAUUCUGCAUUGCUCUUGUUAGGAGGUCAUAAAGGAAGUAAUGAAACAUGUACCCAAGUAAUUUUCAUUGUUUCCCAGGAGUACAGCACAUGUGGAGCUAAUUUAAAAUCUUCCAGAAAGCUUCAUAGCAAGGAUGCAGGUAGGGGUAGGCUAAAGUGUUAACCUUCCUUCUAGAGACCCAUAUCCUACUGGGAAACACUGCAAAGAAUUUUUGAUGGUAGAAGGUAUGCUCUAGGAACGAGGAGCAAUCGGAAUAGCUUGAGAUUUGUCAUUCCUGUUCAUGUCAGAAACUGGAAGUUGGACAGCUACUAUCAACUUAUAUGUCAAAUCUGCAUGAGGCCAGUUGCUUGCUAGUAGAGUUCUAAUUGCUCUAUCAGUAGAGUAAGGAAAUCUGUUUCCUGGUAAGUCGCUGAAAUAAUAGGGAUUUUAUUUUUAACACAACCCUAAAAUAUUUUUUAAUGAAAUUUGUUUCUAACUGCAGGAGUUUCCUAGGCUGUGUCAUAUUCCCCUCUUUUUAACUCAAGAAAGAAAACGAAAAUUGGCACUUUUAAAACUUAAAAAAAAUGGAGGGAUAAUCAUAAUAUGAUAGUAAACAUCAAAAUAAAACUUAUUUUAAGUAUUCAUAAUCAAAUUCAGUUAGUUUUGGUUGGGGCUGGCUGAAACCGCUGAAAUUGAAUUAAAAUCAAAACCUGAAAGUAGGGGUCACUUUGGUUUAGUCUUGGCUAGAACUAAUCCAUUUCAUAUGCAACUGGUGCGACAGGUCAGUCUUGAGUGAAACCUAAAACCUUGAUUGAUCACUUAUUCUUUCUUUUCAACAAUUAAACUGGAUUGCUACAAGACGAGGAUUUAAAUUGGCAAGUUGUGGGUGGGCUAGUUUCAAAGUGGAACAGUCUCUAAUGAAAUGUUCCUACAACCUAUCCAAAGCCCACUACAACAUGCAAAACCAAUUUGAAACUAUGAAGGGAGACCUUCAUUUCUUGAAGUUCAACAGUUCCAAACUUGGAGAACAAAGAAUAUGAUUUCACCUGUUUAGGUGGCAGGGCUGCAAUUCCCACGGGAUAUUAUUUGCUUCACCUAAACAAAAUGCCGUUAUUUUCAGAAUAGUAUUAUGUUGAAGAUAUGCCUCAAGGUUCCUAAAUUCUUAAGAUAAUUUGUUAUAUACUGAUUCUGGAUUUGGCUUGUUUUUUUGGAUAUAGGCAUGAGGAACGUCUGAUUAGUUCACCUGGAACUAACUGCUAAAUCAGAUUACGGUGAAUUAAUGUUUAUAAUUAGAAUUAGUGUUCAUGAUUAAUUGCACGAUUUUUCCAGUCUUGAAAACAUUCAAUUCUCAUUUAGGUAGUGGUAUUUUCCCUCUAUGUACUCUGUAUUAGGCACAUAUGAACUACUGCAAUUAAGACAAUGCAUUAUAGGCAAUAUUACCGUAAUUUAAUAUGUAAUUUAUUAACGAUGUGAGAAAUUUCUGGUCUGCUUAUUGGUUCUGUCAUAUAUUGGGACAUGAGUUAUUAAGCCUCAGCCAUGCAAUGCUUUCCAAUUGAACAUUGAAGUUAAAAAAGAAGAUUGUAGACCCUUCAUGGGCCGUGUUGGAUUUUAAGUGAAGAGGCUUGAUGUUGGUUCAUCUUGCAGGUACUCAAAAUUAUAGGUCAGAUCUUUUGUAGGCCGGCCUAUUUGAAGUUCUAUAUCGAAAUCCUAACUGAGAAUAGAAUUGGUUAAAGUGGGACAUGGUUGUUAUUAAUCAUAAUGAAAUGAUAAAAUUAUUUUUCUUUUAUAUACAUCAUUCACCUUUAUUUUAUUCUUUUUUGUUGUUAUUGGUUUUGGGGGAGGGGCAUUCUGUUUGGACACAGUUAUUUUAUAGAAGUACUUGAGUUUUAGUUUUAAGAUUUUGGGCUUAUCAUUUCCUAUUCUGGAUGAUGCUUCUCGUGAUCUCUCAAACAUUUUCAUGAUUCUGGACUGACACCGUUUUUAGUUCUUUGCUUGCUAUUUGGUACUUUGUCCUAUAACCCUACAAACAAAAAUGUUUGAUAUGCUUAUGUUCUCUCAAAAUUUCUGCAUGUGGAGAAGAUCAAAUCUGCAUUGUUCAUAAUUAAACUUAAUGAGUUAAUUGACAAAUAAUAUAAUUAGUAAUUUGUUUCUCAUAUAUAUCAGAAGAUGACCCCGUGGUGAAGAUGGUGGUUAUUCUAAAGAAGAGUCUAAGGUAGUCAUAUGAGCAAACUGUUUCCUUUAGGCCUUACUGUUGUAUUGUCUCAUCAUUCACAUGCCCUGUAAUUCUGAGGCGGGAAAUGCUCCUUUUAUUUUUGUUUUUUUCCUUCCUUUCUUUUUUUGGGCCAUUGAUAUGUCAAGAUACUGGAUUGUACCUAUAUCAUGCAGGCAAUUGAAAAUUUAGGGCCCUUCUGGUAUUGCUUUUAUGUUUUUUUUUUUUUCUUUUCAAAAGCAUAUGAAAAAUAUACUGGACCGCAGCUCAUAUGUUGAAAUGGCUUCACAUUUUCAGAUUGUUUAGUGAAAAAUUUUGGAGGCUUUGGAAACAAAACUUCAUUGCUUUCGGAAAUGAGUGAAAUAGAAUUAAGGAGGUUCCGUGGGAGCACAGUCUCCCAUGUCGAGAUCUAUGUGAAAUUUCACGAAUCCGUAGAUGUUGAUUUGUGCUGUUAGUUCCCCUUUCAUCUUGGUUGUGGACCGGCACAGUUUUCUUCCCUUUUUUUUCCCCUCAGCUUAACCUAUGAAGUUUUUGAUAGAGACGGACAACCUAUUGGAUUGCAAAGGUUUCCGUUCCAGCAAGUGGACCUUCCAUCUGGUACUUCAACAUCUUUCCAGAUGGCAAAUAUUUAUGUGUUUUCAGAAUGAAAUUUACAGUUGAACAUUCUAAUAUACCUAAGAUAACGGGUAUCAUUAAAUUCCAUCUAUGCGUAUACUUCCCAGUCUGCAGGAUAUAAUUCAGAUAGAUCCAAUUCCAGUCCAAUAUUUUGGGGAAGAUUCAGGUCUGACUUAUUAAAUUGUUAUGCUUUUGAGCCCAAUGCCUAACCUUAGCUAUCGCUGAGUGGUUAGGUUGUUUAAGUUACUAAAUUUUGAAUGGCAGCGAUCUGGAUUCGAUCCUAAUUUUAGCGAGGCUUUCUUCCAUUCUAUUUUACUUAAGAAAAUAUAAAACAGUUCAAACCUUAAUGCUUGAAAAUCAGAUAUGAAAAUUAAGAAGCCAUAGCUUGUCUGUGUCCACCAUGGCAACUCCAAAGUAGAUCAUGAUAGGGAAAUGAGAGAAGCAGGAUGCGUGAUAAUAUGUGGGUAUGCGGUCCAUGCUUCAAUGCUAAUUUUUAGAAACCAGAUCAUCCAUGCAGCUUCAUAUACAUAUUUUCUCCAUAACAUUCACGGAAACGAGUUGAGAGAGAGAGAGAGAGAAGNNNNNNNNNNNNNNNNNNNNAUAACAUUCACGGAAACGAGUUGAGAGAGAGAGAGAGAGAAGAUAAGAGCCAGCUAUAGCUAGGUCUCUUAUUACAGCCACAUGAAAUAAUACACGACGGUAAUAUUAGUAUAAUAGUAGGGCCAGCAAUAACAGCACCAGUCCUGUGAACAAAUUGGAUAGCAUGGAAUGGAAUGGAAGUUACGACAAUUCACGGGGAGGAGGGAAAGUUUUAGGGACCUCGUGAUGGACAGUACUGACUCGGAACAAUAAAAAUAACCAAACCAGAUCUCCCCGCUAUUCUUUCCUUGCUCAUUGCUGCUUUCAUAAAAAUCUUGUUCGCUUCUACUGGUUGCUGAUCAGUUGAAGAUCCUCUGGCACUGCGUGAUGACGCUGCAGCCACGGCGGUAGGGGUUGGCGCUUUUCCCCCUGGAGCAGUUGUAGUACGACCGGCCUCGGCGGUUGCACGGGACUCGGUUCUUGGAGAGCGCGCCGUAGCUAAUGUGCCUGACGCCGGCUCUUGCCAGGCCACGCCGGCUGAUCCCGGUCUCCGUCUCCAUCUCCGUGUCCUCGUCGAUGCACUGGCCUAGAAGCCCGUCACACCUCCCAUCCCCCCUGGCGGCAAGGAAGUCCGCGACGGCCUCGGAGCCGACGGUGUUGAGGGCCGACGAGUUGGUGGUGCAGGCCACCGCCAGCAGCAGGAGGAGGAGGAGGAGGAGGAGGGGGAAUCCGCGGCGCGGAGCCAUGCGGCACAAAGGUGGUGGGGGUGGGUGGGUGGCUCUUCUCUUUGCUUCUUCUCUUAUUGCGUGUCGGUUUUGUUAGUUAUGGGCUGGCCUGGUCCCUUCCCUCGCUUGCUCUCCCCGGGGAGAGGGAGAGAUAUGAUAGCCGAAAGGAGAGGAAAGGGGGUGGUGGGUCUGUGGGUUUUCGGGGAGAGAACGUAUAUGGCGGGCUUUCGUUUGGGACGCCGUUGGGGCCGGGAUGUCUGACAUCUAUUGGGGCCGGGCGCCCGUUUCUUUCUCCUUGUUUUUCGCUUUGGGGGAAGGAUUUCACUUGGCGUUCGCACGAAUCGACCGAUCGAUGGAUCAUGCAAUGAUCCGUGCAGGCCGUGGAUGAAAGAAUUCUCUGAGAUCCACGCCCUCGUCCUUCGGUGGCUAACCGCCAGUUGCUAUAUUUGCCACCUUCAUUGCCAGCCUCCAACACCACAGUCGCCGUUUACCAAAACCGAAAGAGAGAUUUGACGGACAACCAUAUGAGUCGCACUUUUUUUUAUCGAAUGCCUCCUAAAUCUGUCUCCUACUUGGGUUGGUGGUUCGCCAAGCAUUCCUCCUAGCAAAAGUGUUGCUUAGCUAUGUAUAUAUUACAUGCGUACCUUGCAUGCACGUGUGGUGGCUUGCUUGUGUUGCAUUUGAUGGGAAUCGAAUUGACACAAGCUCCACAUGCAACCCACAUGAUGAAAUGCUCCAGUUUCGAAUACCUCCAAAUAUACCUUCUGAAUUCAUACUUUUAAAUCUGUCGAUGCUCAAUCUUCAUCUGAGAACACCGAUUUACCUUUUCCUCGAGUAGGAGAAGACUUUGUGAUUCCGUCGUAAUAAAAAAUAAAAAAUAAAAAAAGGAAGCAUGCCGCUAACUCCCGGUGCGAAGGAAAAGUGUUCUCAUUCCUCUUGCUUUAACCGAUCACCAGCCUGCAGUUAGUCAGUCUCAGAAGAAGAAAGAAAGAAAUGUGGAUGAAUGGAAAUUAAUUUCAUUUUCAUCAAAAUGAUAAAACCCUGUUUGAUAAUAAACUUUUUCCCGGAACAGGAUAAAAGAUUCACACUCUCCAUUUAUUAAACGAACUGAAAGAGAAGGGAUCCAAUGUAGCAUUUUUCGCUAAAUACCAAAUCUAACAAGUUAGAAAUCAACCUCAUUCAUAAGAUGCAUCCAAUGAACUGCAAAAAGCGGCAUUCAGGACAAAAGCCACCAGUCCUAGAGAAGCCCCUGAAACAAUUGCCGAAACAGAGAGAGUGGAGGAAGAAGACGAGGGAGACGACGAGGGAAGACUCGGACUUGAUGGCACAGUUGCCAGCGGCGUAGAUGAAGUGGAGGAUGGCGGUGGUGGCGGAGGAAAGGAAGGAGAAGGAGACGAGGGUGAUGGCUGGGGGCUGUGUCUUGUUUCUAUCUGCCAUCGCCACCACGGUCAGCUUUUGUUCCUUCCUGCAUCGGUCGGGAACGCCACCGAUGAAAAAGAACGGACCCGACCGAUCGACCUGGAACACCGAGCUGCCAUCAUCGAGUCUUUGGAUAGGAUUGUUGGCGUUGCACGAGUCAUAGUUCUCUUUCUUCACCCCCAGAACUGAAUCCUUCCCCUGCUUGUACUUGAAAACUUAAAAUACAACACCAGAACUGUUGAAGUCGGAGAAGCGCGCGCUUCUUGCAGACUGGGUAUGGGAUUAGCUCUUCUUGCAGUUUAUUUUUAAUUUUUUCGAUAACGAAAGGAAAUUAAAACAGCAUCAAGAUAUCCAACACUGGUCCAUGGCAGGUCGCGAAAGAAACUUAGAAGAAAGAAAGAUGGAAAGCUAUAAGGCAAUGAUCAAUAAUAUAAUGUCAAAUUGUCUAUGAAUAAAGGAUACAAUUGAAGAUUUUGGUUCGUACGGCAUUCAUCGAAAUUUGCAGUCCAACAAGCAUAUAUAUAUAUCCAUCACGUAGGUGUGCAUGAUCAUGUAUAAGAUCAUAUUAUAUGUCUAGUAAGCAUAGAUCAUGGUGCGAUAGAAAAGAUUCAAACACAA